RNAcentral lists this long non-coding RNA (51974 nucleotides) under Capsicum annuum. RNAcentral describes it as "long non-coding RNA (CANN_LNC010864)". Lineage: Eukaryota; Viridiplantae; Streptophyta; Magnoliopsida; Solanales; Solanaceae. The record is from RNAcentral.
CAACAACAAACGGUCAAGUCUCUUUAGUGAUGUGUCUUCAGUUUUAACAAGAGAUGAAGGUUGUGAAGAACUUCAAAAACACAAAAACAUUCACUAAUAACUACAAAAACAACACUCCUUUCAAAAACAACAACCACACACAUGGCCAAGUCAAGUUUUUCAGCAAUAAUAUCUACCACACGAUCUUACUUGUUCACGACAACAACAACAAAGCUCAAACUUAGAUAUGGACUCAAGUGUUAGUAAAGAACAAAGCUAACACCAGAAACACUCAAGACAAACAAAAAUCUCGGCCAAGACACAACAAGAACGCAAUUCUUGACCAAGAACACAACACGGACAGAUUGCACUUGUUUAUAUUUUUCAGCUUUUCAAUAAUUUUUUUCUUUGAAUUUUCUAAUCAAGCAAGCCCAAGAUUGAUCUUGUAGGAACAAGAUCUAGCUAUGCUCUGAUACCAAAUAAUACAAGAAGAAACAAUAGAAACACAAAAUAAACACCAAAUCAGUCCACAAGUUUGAAGAACCGAGGACCCCUUUGGUGACCACUCUCAGAUUCACUACAACAACAAUGAAAACACAAUAACAACAAGAUAUUGAAGGUGUAAAACAAGAUUACAAUAAAAAUAAAGGGAUAGUUAGAUAGACUUAAUGAAGGUAUAAUCUUAAGAACCCAAGAGCAUAUUCCACUCUUGGACCCUUAACACUACACACAACAUUCACCUAUCUCUUACGAAGACACAAGGUCAAAAUCUACCUCCCAAGCAUCACGUUUCCAAGCCAUGAGAUCAACAAGAGUGAUUCCACACUCUCUAUGCCUAAUUUUAGUUUUGGUGCCUCAAGAAGAGAGGGCUUGUGUUUCUUUGUGUUUCAAGACUUAAACAUCAUGAAUAAUCUAAGUCUAAAAGCCCUACAAUGUUCUAUUUAUACUAGGUUACAAAUAAAAUUCAAAAUGUCCAAAAUGCCCUUUUAAGUGCUAGGCUCCCUUCAAGUGUAUUUAGGGGCUGCCUUGUUGUGUUCCAAGUCUCCUCUUUACACUCCAAGUGUGAGAUUAGACUCAGUUUGGUGUGUUUUAAGUCCUUCACUCGCACACUCCAAGCCCCCGGUUCAUUACAUUCUCACAUGCGUUCAUCUUCGUGGUCGUACUUGUAUCAAAACUGUUGUUGAGAAUGAAACAAUUGUAUUUUCCAGUUUGCUCGGAAUAUCUUCAUUUUUUCUACUGUAACAUUUUCUAUUAUCGCCACACUCGACCACUAAAAUUUCUUAAAGGAGAAGUAAGUUCAGAAGAACACAAAAGAGAGACGAACAAGAAAACUUGAGGGGACGGUCUUAGCAACUACCACAUUUUCCUGAAAAUGGAUAAACCGAUGAAUUGAGAAGUGAACAGUUCUUGUGAAAGUGACAGAUGAUUUAGAGAAGUCUGCAAUGUAUGUGCGUACAUAUUUCCUUGUAUUUUAUGAAGGGCAAGGUAAGUACAGAAACAAAUAAAAUAAUGACAUUGUUCUCUGUCUUUACCUUAUGAGCUUAAUUUUGUAAUCUUAAUGGUCUAAAACGAUAUUGUUUUAACAUUUGUGUUUUACAAGGACUUAGUUUAGGUUAAACAAUGAUUUUUGUAAAAUCGGUUAAAAGUAUAGAGUAGCUAAUGAACAAGAAUGACCAAAAGAAGCAGCAGAAUGAGCUAUGAAGAUGCAGAAAAUGCAGGUGGCUCAUGGCUGUAUCAUUUCAUCACCCUAAGCGUAAAAAGUAAAGUGAAGAUCAAGAAGUUUUGGUAAAUUUGGUUCGAAAAAUUCACAAUGUAAGUCUCUAGACACAAAUGCUGCAUUCAUAGUAAUUACAAAACCUGAAGAGCGAUUUUUUUCUCUCUUUUAGUAAAUUUAAUACAACUAAGAAACAGAUAAUGAAAUAUACACAAGCUUAACAGAAUUUACAAAAAAAUUGAGAAGAAGAAAAGCUGCCUUAGCUUUUAAAAUCUAUCAACUACUUGCUAAAGUUGCCAUAUGUUGUGCAGUCGUGACUGAUGAAAAUGUUGGAACACGAAGAUGGAGAAGAGAAUUGGGAUGCUGCUAUUGACAAAGCCAUAUCUUUCCGGUUUUGCCUUUUGGGGAAUGAUAUAUUCCUACUGUGGACACAAGUGCUUGGAUUCUCCCCUUUCUUCUUGUGUAAUGCACAACUGCAGUUUUUAUGGUAAGGUCGUCUCUCGAUGUUCAUGUCUGACAUCGACAAGCUUCCAUCAAAGACACAGUGAAGCAUCAUUUCAGUGGCCAUUCUCUUCUAUCUCCUCUAUCCUGCUAUAAAACUUUUCUAAAUGUGCUUCAGAGUGUUCAAGAAUGUCUUAUCGUUCUUAAAAUUCUGUACAUCUGUUUAAGUUUUUAUAUAGAGAUAGUAAGCAUUGAUUUAUGACCUCAACUUAGGGAAUUUGGUAGAAUCAAGGGUGAAAAGGAUCUCUAGAAUUCACGAAGUUCUUGUGCAUGUUAUUACCUUACUAUCAAUGAAACUGGCGUUUUUUCCUAUGAUGUUUUCUUGUCUUGGCUGCAGUCUGUUCUAUAUGCGUAUUCAUGUGUGUUCGUCAAAUAUAAGAUACUUAUAUUCUUUUAUUUUCUUAUGCUUUGUGAUUGAUAUCUUUUAGGAGGAAAAAGAAUGUGUUAUUUAGUUACAAGUGUGUCAGUGAACGAAGUGUACUGACUAUUUGGUUCUUUAUUUUAAUUGCAUAUUUGUUUCUGGUUUGCUUAGUUUUCUAGGUUUGUACUUUGUACAUUGUGGUAUCUUGACUUACGUAUUCUUUUUUCUGGUGAAAUUUUCUAAUAUGCUCUUGUUCUUAUUACUUGGAUGUGUCAAUUAUCGAAUAAUCCAAUAGAAGUUUGGCCCAAGUUAUAGGAGACUCAGCAAUAGAGAUUUUUUUUGUCCUACUUGCAUCUGAAAAUGAUUCACUUAUUACCCUUGUUGACCUUGUUAGUUCCUUCCACUCAAUUAUUUGGGAUUUACUCUUCAAAGUAAUGUAAUAUGUACCAAUUUUCGUAUUGCAACAAAAAGAUUACUUAUCAGAGAAAAUUGAAGGAAAGGUGUCAUUUAAGUUUAGAAUGAAGGAUUGGUGAUAUUGACCAACUUAAAGGGUCAAACAUAAUUAAGAAACUUGAUUAGGUUAAUUGUGCACUUAAUUAAUAUUUUUUAAACUUUCUAAUCUUUUCAAAAAUAUAAAUCAACCCACACCCACAAAACUUCCCUCUCUCCGCAAAUCAAUCUCUUUUCUCUCUUUCUCUCGAUAGUUUCGCUCUAACUUCUCUCAACCAACAACUUUCCAAAUUUCUCCCUUCAAUCUUGUGCAACUUCAACCUCUGGCAACAAAUAUUUUUGAGUUCUUGCCUGUUCCAUUUUGACUUUCAACCGUCCGUCGACGUGACAACAUUCUCCCGCGACAACAACUUCGAGCUUUUCACUGUUUCUUUUUUAUUUUCUCAGAUAAAAAAUUAGAGCUUUUUAGUUAUGACGAAAACGAGGAACUUGAGUUAACUUCUCUUCUAGUAUGAGUUAACAAUUUCAAUAUUUGUUGCUUAAAUUUACAAUGGGGACUCACGAAUACCCUAAUAAGUAAAAUUAUAAUUUUUAGUUGAAUUUCUCAUCUGGGUGUAUCUGCUACUGCUGUUUUUUCAAUAAUGGAUAAAACAUGUAACGUGAAUCCAACAUAUGAGUAAUCUGUUGCAACAUAUUUAACUAAUCUGUUGUGACAGAUGAGUAAUAUUUUGCAACAUAUAUAACUAAUCUGUUGCAACAGAUGAGUAAUCUGUUGCAACAUAUAUGACUAAUCUGUUGUAAUAAAUGAGUAAUCUGUUGCAACAUAUAUGACUAAUCUGUUGUAAUAAAUGAGUAAUCUGUUGCAACAUAUAUGACUAAUCUAUUGCAAUAAAUGAGUAAUUUGGUGCAACAGAUGAGUCAUUUGUUGCAACAUAUAUGACUAAUUUGUUGCAACAUAUGAGUCAUAUGUUGCAACGAAACUCUUUGUUAAAUAGAUCUUUUAAGUCUAUUUUUAAUUAAAUGGACCAUAAGUUUUUUUAAUUUAGUGAGAUAACCCAUUUUUAAAAUAGAUUUAUUAUCUGUCCGACAUAUAUAUAGGCAAAUUGAUUAUCAAUCUGAUAGAUCUAUUAUCUAUCCGACAGAUAUAUAGACAGAUCAAUUAUCAAUUCGACAAAUCUAUUAUCUGUCCGACAAAUGAGAAAAUAAAAGUAGACCAUUUUUCUAAUUGAAAACUUGAAGAGGUUUGGACAUUUUGCUAAUUAGAAACUUAAAGAAGCUUAAUAUCCAAAUUUUCUCUGUUGCAACAACAUGUGGGUAAUCUGUUGCAACAGAUGCGUCAUAUGUUGCAACAAAUUACUCAUCUGUUGUAAUAGAUUAGUCAUCUGUUGGAUUCGUAUUAUCAUGUUGUAACAUGAAUCCAACAUAUAGGUCAUCUCUUGCAACAGAUUAGUCAUAUGUUACAAUAGAUUACUCACUUAUUGCAAUAAAUGACUCAUAUGUUGGAUUCAUAUUGCAGGUUCUAUCCAUUGUAGCAGUAGCCGAUAUACCAAGUAAGAAAUUCAACAAAAAUCAUAAUUUUACUUUCAAAAUCACCUAUGAAGUAACGUCCAAGAGAUAUACGAACAAAAUUUGAGCUAAAAAAAAUUUAAAAAUUUCAACAGAAGCACAACGAAUAAGUAAAGUACAUGAAAAAUUUCAUGAAACGGGUAAAGAAGACAAAAUAGUAUAUCAUACAUCAAAUGAAAAAGGAUCAAAGGGAAAAACGUUUGAGUUCUCCUAAAAACGUUUAAGUUUCCUAGUAUUUUAAUUGUUUUUAAAUAGAUGACCCAUCUGUUACAAUAGAUUUUCUAUCUGUUUGAUAAUUUUCAACAGAUGAAUCAUCUGAUGCAACAUGUUAGUCAUCUGCUGAAAAAAAUUAAGCAAUCAUUAGUAAUAACUAAAUUAAUUUAGCUAAAAUUAAAGAUGUCUUUAAUACAAUGGGACAAACAUUUGAGUUCUCCUAAAUAUGUUUGAGUUUCCUAGUAUUUUAAUUAUUUUCCAACAGAUGACCUAUUUAUUACAACAAGUUAGUCAUCUGUUGCAACAGAUGUUUAUAACAGGUUAGUCAUUUGUCAAAUUAAGCAAUUAUUAAUAAUAACUAAAUUUAUUUAAUUAAAAUUGAAGACAAGUAUAGACAUCUGCUGCAACAGAUGACUAAGUUGUUGCAACAUAUGACUCAUCUGUUGAAAUCAUCAAACAGAUAGGAUAUAUGUUCGAAAAUAAUUUAAAAUACUAAAGCUCAGAUGUUUUUGAGAGAACUCAAAUGUCUGUCUCCUUGUCUAAAGUCCUGUCUUUAAUUUUAGUUAAAUCAAUUUCAUUAUUACUAAUAAUUUCUUAAUUUGAAUUAUUUCAAAUAAAAUUGAUCAAUUGAUCAUUAUUCAGGACGAAUACACUUAGUUGAUAAUGUAAUUACUAUGAAAUUAGUUGAAAUUAUAAGUGGUCUUAUCAAUUCAUCUUUAAUUUAAUUAAAAUCAAUUUAGUUAUUACUAAUAAUGACUUAAUUUGAAUUAUUUAAAAUAAAAUUGGUCGAUUGAUCACUUUUCUCGAGACAAAUAUACCUAGUUAAUCAUGUAAUUACUAUGAGAUUAAUUGAAAUUGUAAGUGAACUUAUUAAUUCAUCUUUAAUUUUAGUUAUAUCAAUUUAGUUAUUACGAAUAAUGGCUUAAUUUGAUUCAGUUCAAAUAAAAUUGGUCAAUUGAUCACUCAUUCAUGACUAAUACACUUAGUUGAUUAUUUAAUUACUAUGAGAUUAAUUGAAAUUGUAAGUUAAUCUUUAAUUUUAGUUAAAUCAAUUUAGUUAUUACUAAUAAUGACUUAAUUUAUAUCAUUUCAAAUAAAAUUGUUCAAUUGAUCACUUUACUCAGGACGAAUACACUUAGUUAAUCAUGUAAUUACUAUGAGAUUAAUUGAAAUUAUAAGUGAACUCAUCAAUUCUUAUUUAAUUUUAGUUAAAUCAACAUAUUUAUUACUAAUAGUGACUUAAUUUGAAUCAUAUCAAAUAAAAUUGGUCAAUUAAUUAUUCUACUAAGGAUGAAACACCUAAUUGAUCAUGUAAUUACUAUGAGAUUAAUUGAAAUCGUAAUUGAACUUACUAAUUCAUCUUUAAUUUUAGUUAAAUUAAUAUAGUUAUUUCUAAUAAUGGUUUAAUUUGAAUCAUUUCAAAUAAAACUGGUCAAUUAAUCAUUCUACUCAGUACGAAAUACUUAAUUGAUCAUGUAAUUACUAUGAGAUUAAUUGAAAUCGUAAUUGAACUUACUAAUUCAUCUUCAAUUUUAGUUAAAUCAAUAUAAUUAUUUCUAAUGAUGACUUAGUUUGAAUCAUUUUAAAUAAAAUUGUUCAAGUGAUCACUUUACUCAUGACGCACAUACUUAGCUGAUCGUGUAAUGGCCAUGAGAUUAAUUGAAACUAUAAUUGAACUUAUUAAUUCAUAUUUUAUUUUAGUAAUCAAUUUAAGUAUUACUAAUAAUGUCUUAAUUUGAAUCAAUAGAUGACUAAUAUGUUACAACAGAUGAGUAAUCUGUUGGAAAUGACUCAACAGAUAAAAACAUCUGUUGAAAAUGACCAAACAGAUAUAGACAUCUAUUGCAACAGAUGACUCACUUAUUGCAACAACUAACUUAUCUAUUGAAAAUUAUCUAAUAGAUAUAGACAUCUGUUGCAACAAAUGACUAAGUUGUUGCAACAUAUGACUCAUCUGUUGGAAAUUAUUAAAUAGACAAAACUUGUGUUGAAAAGCAAUUUAAAAUACUAAAGCUCAAAUAUUUUUUAGGAGAACUCAAAUGUUUGUCCCCUUGUCUAAGGUAUUGUCUUCAAUUAUGAUUAAAUCAAUUUAGUUAUUAUUAAUAGUUGUUUAAUUUGAAUCAACAAAUGACUAACCUGUUAUAAACAUUUGUUGCAACAAAGAGCUAACUUGUUGCAACAAAUAGGUCAUCUAUUAGAAAAUAAUUAAAAUACUAGGGAACUCAAACAUUUUUAGGAGAACUCAAAUUCUUGUCCCACUGUCUUAAAGACUUGUCUUUAAUUUUAGCUAAAUCAAUUUAGUUAUUAUUAAUAACUGCUUAAUUUGAAUCAACAGAUGGCUAACAUUCUGCUACAGAUGAUUCAUCUAUUGAAAAUUAUCAUACAGAUAGAAAAUCUGUUAUAACAGAUGGGUCAUCUAUUAGAAAGCAAUUAAAAUACUAGGGAACUUAAACGUUUUUAGGAGAACUCAAAUGUUUGUCUCCUUGAUCCUUUUGCAUUUGAUGUAUGAUAUACUAAUUUUGUCUUAUUUACCUGUUUCAUAAAAUUUUUCAUGUGUUAUACUUAUUCGUUGUGCCCCUAUUGAAAUUUUUAAAAAAUUUUCCGGUCAAAUUUUGUUCGUAUAUCACUUGGAUUACUUCAUAGGUGAUUUUGUAAGUAUAAUUAUGAUUAUUUUUGAAUUUUUUAUCCUGCUACUGCUACAAUAGAUAGAACCUACAACAUAAAUCCAACAUAUGAGUCAGUUGUUGCAACAAGUGAGUAAUUUGUUGCAAUAGAUGACCCAUAUAUUGGAAUCAUGUUACAACACUAUAAUAUGAAUCCAACAGAUGAGUAAUCUGUUGCAAUAAAUGACACAUCUGUUGCAACAGAUGAGUAAUAUGUUGCAACAUAUGACGUAUCUGUUACAACAAAUUAGUCAUAUAUAUUGCAACAAACAUUAGAUUAUUCAUAUAUGUUACAACAGAUUACUCAUCUAUUGCAACAGAUUACUCAUCUAUUGGAUUCACGUUACAUAUUUUAACCAUUGUUGAAAAAAUAAUAGUGGCAGAUACACCCAGAUGAGAAAUUCAACUAAAAAUUAUAAAUUUAUUUACUAAAAUCACCUAUGAAAUAAUGCCCAAGUGAUAUACGGAUAAAAUUUGACCUACAAAAAUUUGAUCAAGUAGCAAUUGUAGCAGUAACAACAACAAUGUUCAAGAACAAGAAGAUGAUGAUGAUGAACAAGAAGAGACGAUAGUGAAGACUAAGAUGAUGAUAAUGAAGAAAAAGAUGAUGAAUAAAGCAACAACAACAAUGAACAACAAAAAUCACGAACAGAAAGAAAACUCUAAUAAAUGAGAAAAGAGAGAAUCAUGCCUUUUUUCCUUCCAUUUCUUGUUAUAUUAGGUUUUACAUUGGAGCAAAGUGUAAAUUAAAAAAUUUGUGGGUUAUUUACAAACUUUUCUUACUUUCUUAAUCCUUAGUAAAAUAAUUGUCACCUACACUCAAUUAUUAAAACUUGAGUCACCUACACUUCAUUUUAUAACUCUUUUGUCACUUUUAGCUCAAAGCCCCUACUUACCACCCUAAGAUAAGUUUCAUAUUAUCAAUAAGAAUUUGAUCAAUCCUAUUUUCUAUUGUUAAGGUGGAGAAGAAAACCAAGAAUUCUCUUAAAAUGCAGGUGUCAGAACAGAAUGUGAGAGACUAUGAGAUGAGAUGCAAAAUAAUAAUGCAGUUGGCUCAUGGCGUUUUCAUUUCAUCACCCUAAAUAGAAAUUUUAAAAAAAAAAGUAGAAAAGAAACAGGAAAGUACGGUGAAGAUCAAGAUGUUACGGUAAAAUUUGGUUUGAAAAAUUUACGAUGUGAUAAGUCUAUAGACACAAAUGCUGCACUCUCAGUAUUUACAUAAAAGGAGAAAAAACGGUACCCCCACAGUACCGUUUUUCUUCUUUUUCUUUCUUUUUUUUUAUUGUAAAUUUAUAGCACCUAAGAAAUGGAUACUAAACUAUACACAAACUUGGGCAAGUAUGCCAAACAACUCUUUUUUCAAACUAUUUUGUCAAAUACCCAAAAGUUUUAAAACAUUGGUCAAAUACCCACACAAUUCAACCACACCAUCAACUUUUUCAACUUAACAAUUUCAAUCAAAAAUUUUAUAAUAAUUCACUUUAACUCAAUACUUCCAACUUAAUAAAUUCACCUAUAAGUUUCUAAUAAUACACUUCAAUCCACUCCAUCAUCCACCAUUAUAUAUACAAAAAUAUCUAGGUUUUCCAAAAAUAUUUAAAAAAAAUUCCAAAAGCUAAAAAUAAAAGGUGGUUAUUUUUCCCUUCAAAAAGCUCUGAUUCGGGCCACUUUUUCGGUGUUAUUUUUUGGCGAUUAGCCGCAAAUCAGUCCACAAAUAUCAUAAGCUUGUCCAUUGCAUCCAUUGUUACACCAUUUAUUUCUCAUUUUCUCAAACACACUUUCCACCAUUAUUAAAAAGCUUUAAAUCACUCACAUUACUCAAAACCACUUUAGAAAAUGCAUUACAGCAUCUCAGGCGACUCCAAGUUCAUUUCUCUAUUCCAUAAACCCAACAAUCAUUGAUUAGAAGUAAUAUUUGCAAUUUUAAGUUUUUGUACAGAUAUCUGCACAGCCAUCGACCCGUCAUCGUUAGUCAUAGACUGUGCAUACAACCCGACAUAGACCAUAAGCAUAAUCUACCUUCGGCCAAAGCUUAAUUCUAGAAUGUCUAUUGCAGAAUUUGUUCUAGUUUCUGGUGAUUUCAUGGGAGAAUGGAUGGAGACUCUCAAACGUUGGAAAUAGAGAUCAUUUACCAAGGUGAUAAUUUUUAUUUUGGUUUACCGCAAUAGUUCGUAUGAUGAAUUCGUUGCAAGUGUAAUGCAGAGUAGGGAUCUAGAAUGUGCACCGAGCGACGUGGUUAUUAGUUAUCUAAUGCUUUCGAGGGAUAAAUUGAAUCCUACAAUCAUAAAUAGCGAUGUACGUGUUCUAACGUACAUAAUAGAUGUCAAUGCAGAAGGCUUUAGGCCUAUUUUGAGGAUAAAUGUUGUUGAGAGGUCCUUUGAAGGACUGCUGAACUCAUCAGCACCCCUAUCGCGUCACCCGACAGUCGACGAUGAAACAUCACUCUUAGGUUAUUAAACAUUCAAUCACUACCCAUCCACACACUCCUUAAUUCACCUCCCCUAAUUUUUUUAAGCUCUAAUAUGAUUAUGUGACUUGUUUACACUCCUCUACAUGUGUAGAAAUCCACACUAUAUUUAUUUUUAAUUUAUUUAUUCAUUUUUUAACUACAGUAAAGUGAUGGUCUAUAACAGUGUACAUAGAUCACCGUGGUCUAUGCAUAAUCAUGAUAUCAAUCGAUGCACUACUAAUGGUGUAAGUCUACGGUAGACCAGACUAAUCGAUGGCUGACAUAGGUCAUGAUCUACGAUGGUCUAUCAAGUGUCACCAUCACUCCAAGAGUAUCUAUUUAAAUCUUUUUUAAUUAAAUUACUUUCUUCCACCAGCCCCAAAACAUGUCAUUAUCUAUUUAAAUCAUUUUUAAUUUAAUUAUUUUCUUCCACCAACCACAAAACAUAUGAUUAUCUAUUUAAAAAAUAUGUAAUUAUCUAUUUAAAUCAUUUUUAAUUUAAUUAUUUUCAAUAACAUGUCUAUCUAUAUAUCCUUUACUUUUAUUACAAUCUUGUUAGUGUUUGUAACUUGAACCAUUUAUUCUUGUUUCUAGUGAAUUUGUGACUUGUUGAUACGGGAAUAAUCAUGGAUAUGGGCUUAGGAGAGUGUGUGUUAGACCCAAGCCUUGGCAGGUGCAAUUGAAGUGUAAAAGAGGCCCAAAAUGCACUCAAAUCAGCCCAUCAAUUACACUAGAUGGGUGCCCACUCUUUGAUGGGCCUUUUGGUCAUUUUAACUUAUAUUUUGUUAUAGCUAUAAAAGGAACAUUGUAGGGUUUUUAUUUUAGUUUUUGGAUGAUAUUUGGGAGUAUUGUAAGACUUGUAACAAGCUCUCUCUCUAGUGAAAAGAGUGACCACCGAAACUAGGAUACAACAAUAGGGUGGAUUCUCUUUUGUUGUUGCUUGCUUGGAAACAUUGAUGCUAGAGAAGUGGAAUCCGAUCUUGUGUCAUGUAAGAGAUAGUUUUAUUGUUGUGUGUAGUGUUAAGGGUCCAAGAUUGUCCAUUCUUGGGUUCUUAAGAUUAUACUUUCAUGUGGUCUAUCUAUCUAUCAUUUUACCUUAUUGUAAUCUUGUUUAGUGUUUGUGUUGUAAUCUUGUGUUCCUGUUGUAAUUGUUAAAUCCGAAUCUUGUGUCUUCUUGUUCAUCAUCUUAUGUUGUUAAUCUAGUUUUUUGUCCGCUGAUUUGAUGUAAUAAACACCUUGUUAUCUUCUUGUUAUUGUGUUCUUAGGAAGCCGAGAGUUGGAUCCAAAAGGGUUCAGGGAUUUCUUCCAUUUUGUGGACUAUUUUUGGACUAAUUUGGUGUUCCCUUGUUUGUCCCGUAUCAUUUGGUAUCAAAUCCAUCUUUGGUUUUGUUCCUACAAUACCAAUCUUGGGCUUUCUUGCUAAGAAAAUAAAAAAAUAAAGAAAGGAAAGAAAGACGUGUUCUUGAGCUUGAGAUCUUGGCCAAGAAGUUGAACUUGUUAUUGUUGUAUCUUGGAUGAAUGUUGUGUGUCUAGGUAUAGGAUUUAUUUUUCUUGUAUUUUUGUUUCAAGUGUUAGUAUUCUUGUCCAUUAACACUUUGAGUCGAUCUAGAUUUGAGCUUUAAAAAAAUUGAUGUUGUUGUUGUGAACAAGACCAUGGCCGUGUGUUGAAGUUGUUGUUUUUGGACGUAUGGACUUGUUGUUAUAGUCUUGGUUGAAUGUUGUUGGUGUUUUUGUUGCUCUUGAUAAAGUUGUUGUUGAGUUCUUUACAUUCAUCACAACCUUCACCUUUGCUAAAACCGAAAUACAACACCAAAAAGAACCUUGGCCAUGUGUUGACACUAAAAUUGGCCUUGAUGUGUGUUGAUGUUUGUUGUGGGAUGGAAAUUGUUGUUUUGCUGUUGAUGUGUUCUUGAAUUUUGUUGUGGUGUUCAUCUUGUUCUUCAUCUCACCUUACAACUUAAGACAACCAAAGUGUAACAUAGAUUCAAAAAGGUGAACCUACAAGUUGUAAAGUUGUUUGUGAGAGGACUUGAUCCACAUUUUCUUGACUUAACAUCUACUUUUCAACCACUUUUCUUGUUUCAAGGGACCUUGUUUUAUGGGAAUUGUACAAAGUCAAGUCUUACCUUUUGAAUAUUACACUUAAAAUAGAUUUAAGACAUAUACUUUCCCUCCAAAACCAAUUGUUUCCAUUACAUAGUAACUAAAGUUUGUAAACUUCAACUAGUGAUUAAUUGUGGGGCCGUGACCAAUGGUAUGCUGCUAUGUCACCCAAGUUACUGUUCACACGAAAAUUUUAAGAUCAAAAUUUGAUCUUCUAGUUUCAUUGUGUUGUUUCUUUAGUUUUGUUUGUUGAUUCCAUUACUAACUUACAAGCUAGUUUUAGAUUGUAAGUUAGUUUUGAAACCAUCCUUCAUGUAUACGUUCCUUUGUGUGUCUUAUAUUUUUGAGUCAUUGUAAUACUUGGUCCACCUCUCACUGCCUCAUGGAGUACAAGCAAUGUUACGACACUUGUGAGAUCAAAGUGAGAAAAAAAAAAUUCGAGAGCCAAAACAAUAGAGAGGAAGUGUGAGGACCAUUCUUGUACAACUAACUUGUUUGUUGUUUUGUAGGUAACUUCUUGGCCAUAAUGGAAACCAUUUUGUCCCUCCUUGAUGGUUUGUCCAUGGACCUUGCUAGGUCAAGUGCGGGUCUUAAAAAAUUGACUCGGAUAUGGUAACUAUGCAUGAGAGAUUGGAUCGAAUGGAGAGUCGAAGGAACUCUCAUGCUUUUACUCCCGAAACUUUACUUCUAAUGACCAAUCCUCUAAGACAACCACAUAAUACCACAAGCCAAGCUCCAAAUAGCCCUCAAAAUUGAGCACAAGAUAGACCACUUCCCCCACAAGUUGAUCAAGUCCAACAAGGAGGACUUGGAACCCAAUUUCCUCCCAUCCAAGCUCCACAUUACCAAAUUGAGCCUCUCAACCAAAACUUCCCUUUCCAAAAAUCAACACAUCCAAGAAGAGGAACAUGAUAGAGAGAGACAUGAAGGAUAUGGAGUCUACGGCAAUGCUUAUAUGAUAGAAGGAGACUUGAGUCGAAUGAGAUUAAAGGCCAAUCUCAAGAGGGAGAGGAAGUCAAGGGUCAAAAUGAAGAUGUUGGAUUCGAGACUUAUUGUCAUUAUGCUCUCAGGUUUGGCUAUCUUGUGGAUUGUUAUUAUGCAUUUCUUGUGGGCAGUUUUUAGCUCAUUUUUUGAUACGUCCCUUGUUAUUAUUGAGCUCUCGGGCCCUUCAUGUUUUGCGGACUAUUUUUGAGUAGGUUUCCUUUGAAGUGACCAAUUGAAUGAGGUGAAGCCAUGAAUUUAUGGAUAAAUUCCUCUCAAGAUGGAGAGGAUGAUACGGGAAUAAUCACGAAUAUGGACUUAAGAGAGUAUGUGUUGGACCCGAGCCUUGGCAGGUGCAAUUGAAGUGUAAAAGAGGCCUAAAAUGCACCCAAAUCAGCCAAUAGAUUACACUAGAUGAGUGCCCACUCUUUGAAGGGCCUUUUGGUCAUUUUAACUUAUAUUUUAUUAUAGCUAUAAAAGGAACAUUGUAGGGUUUUUAGUUUAGUUUUUGGAUGAUAUUUGGGAGUCUUGUAAAACUUGUAACAAGCUCUCUCUAGUGAGAAGAGUGACCACCGAAACUAGGAUACAACAAUAGGGUAGAUUCUCUUUUGUUGUUUCUUUCUUGGAAACAUUGAUGCUAGAGAGGUGGAAUCUAAUCUUGUGUUACGUAAGACAUAGAUUUAUUGUUGUGUGUAGUGUUAAGGGUCCAAGGGUGUCCAUUCUUGGAUUCUUAAGAUUAUACCUUCAUGUGGUCUAUCUAUCUAUCAUUUUACCUUCUUGUAAUCUUAUUUAGUGUUUGUGUUGUAAUCUUGUGUUCCUGUUGUUAUUGUUAAAUCCGAAUCUUGUGUCUUCUUAUUCAUCAUCUUAUGUUGUUAAUCUAGUUUGUUGUUCGCUGAUUUGGUGUAAUAAACACAUUGUUAUCUUCUUGUUAUUGUGUUCUUAGGAAGCCAAGACUUGGUCUCAAAAAGGGUUCACGUAUUUCUUCCAUUUUGUGGACUGUUUUUUGGACUAAUUUUGGUGUUCCCUUGUUUGUCCCGUAUCAUUAUGGAAAUUCGUGAACCCUUUGGAGACCAAGUCUCGGUUUCCUAAGAACACAAUAACAAGAAGAUAACAAGGUGUUUAUUACACCAAAUCAGCGGACAACAAACUAGAUUAACAACAUAAGAUGAUGAAUAAAAAGACACAAGAUUCGGAUUUAACGAUAACAACAGGAACACAAGAUUACAACACAAACACUAAACAAGAUUACAAGAAGGUAAAAUGAUAGAUAGAUAGACCACAUGAAGGUAUAAUCUUAAGCAACCCAAGAAUGGACACUCUUGGACCCUUAACACUACACACAACAAUAAAUCUAUCUAUUACGUGACACAAGAUCGGAUUCCACCUCCCUAGCUUCAACGUUUUCAAGCAAGCAACAACAAAAGAGAAUCCACCCUAUUGUUGUAUCCUAGUUUCGGUGGUCACUCUUCUCACUAGAGAGAGAGCUUGUUACAAGUCUUACAAGACUCCCAAAUAUCAUCCAAAAACUAAACUAAAAACCCUACAAUGUUCCUUUUAUAGCUAUAACAAAAUAUAAGUUAAAAUGACCGAAAGGCCCAUCAAAGAGUGGGCACCCAUCUAGUGUAAUUUAUGGGCUGAUUUGAGUGCAUUUUGGGCCUCUUUUACACUUCAAUUGCACCUGCCAAGGCUCGGGUUCAACACGCACUCUCCUAAGUCCAUAUCCGUGAUUAUUCCUGUAUCACUUGUGGUUCAUUUAUUGUUGUUAAUCUAGUUUUUUUGGUGGCUGAUUUGGUGUCCAAACACCUUGUUAUUCUUCUCAUAUUGUUGUUUUUGUUGUUGUUGUUGAAGCCGAGACUUGUUCUCAAAAGGGCUCUCGGUUUUGGGUCAAUUUGUGGACUGUUUGUGCGUUUCUUGCAUUCCCAUGGUUUUUCUUGUAUCAAACUUAAAUCCAUUAUUCCAAAAGCCAUUUAUGUCAAGCUUUCAACAUAGGUAACGUUGGGAUCAAAUGUAAAUUCCGUCUCUCUCGAGAGACGAGAAUGUCUCUCAUGUUAUCAAUUUUAGGAUUGUAUACAGUAACUUUUUUUGUCAUAAUUGUCAGUCUUUGUCACCGACAAGCGCGCUGCAAAUUCGUAAGGACUUGUUUCUAAAUUCCUCAUGUAAAAUAAGGCUUUACUCCGUAUUCCUUCAUGACCAAUAUUUCAACACCAACCUUAUCUCAAACUACUUUGAUUGGGGAAGGUAAGUUGUGCAAUCUCUGCUAUCAGUAUGAUGUCUGUACUGUUAUAAUGUUUUAAAACCUCCAAGGGAAGUGGAAAAAUGCUUAAACAAAUCCUGAAGAGCAAAAAUUGCAGCAUUUAUCUGCCGCACCAAAAUGUUGUCACACACUUCGCGGAGAUUCACUCUGUAAAAUGUCGCAACUCCUUACUGCAGUGCAACCAAAUGGAAUAUGCAUUCCGAUUUCAUUAUGUUCAAGAAAAUAUGCAACCAAAGAGAAUCAUGAAAGUUUCUUCGCUAUUACUUCUUUUUUGGGGUGGUCGUUUCCCAUUAUCUUGCGCCGCUCCUCACUCUAGUAAUAAUUUCCUCUGGUGAGAUCAAGCUUUCCAGAUAGGUAACCAUGGCGCCAUGUGUAAAUUCCAUACACUUCAGGACAUGAAUAUCUCUCAUAUCAUCAGUCUUUGGAUUGUAGACAACAACUUUUUCGUCAUAACGAUCUAUUAUCAAAGUUACUCCUCCACUCUCUCAUAAAAAAGGGCACUGCACAUCCAUUAGAAGAAAUUAUUUCUAAAUUCCUUAUGAAAAAUAAGGAUGUCCAUGAUUCCCUUACCCCAUAUUCCUUCAUGACCAAUAUCUCGACACCACUCUUAGCCUCAUCCAAGCGAGUCACAAGGACAUUCAUUUAGAACUCCUAAACCAACUAUAACGUUCUCUUCUUGAUUAGAUUUAGGCUCAGGGAUCGGAAACAUAUGGAACUUUUCAGAGAUCGGAUCAAAAUUAAUUAGUUUGCUAUUAUUCUUGCCCUUUAACCAUAAGUGAAUUCGUCCAUGCAGUGUAAUGUUAAUAUCAUAACUCAGUGAGCGGAUAUUGUAAGGGAAUUCAACUGGCCUCCAUUGUUUGUCGUCAAGAUUAGCAUCCAUAACAAACUCAUCCACAAAUGGGGUUCGAUCAGACACAAACAGCACAGCCUUGUAAGCAUUCUUGUACGAGUAGUAACAAAGUCCCCCAUGUGUAUAAUAACCACGUUCCAUGUAGUCAAACUUGAGCACCUUGGCGCGAGAUCGAGUGGCAAGAUUCAACAAGUAAAUCUCCUCAUGUAGACCAACCAAUAUAAGACCAUGACAAGAACCCAAAAGUAAAAAACGAUGAUUAUAACUUGUAGGAUAAUUGAGCGCUUCCGAAAUGAGUUGUUGGUUUACGAAACGGAAGGAAGGUCUCUAUAUUGUGGGUGUUGUUGUUGUAUAUGUAUACACCAUGGCGAGAACUACUCGUUGUCGUUGAUUGGAGAGCUUCAAUAUUGGACAUGAGAUCCAAGAACACCAUGACUUAUAUACACACAUGAAUCGUUGUCACACCCUUUUUUCGCCCGAAGGGUCGAGUGAAGGAUUUUUCCAAUUAAAGUGACGGUUUUGAAUAGGGAUUAAUUUAUUUCCAGAGUGGCCACUUGGAAUUGAGUUAUGGUGUUCCAAGUCACCUUUUUGAAUCUCUAGUCAAAAGGAAAUGACUCUUUGUUGGCUGCGAAAACAGAAGACCGGGUAAGGAAUUCUGUUGACCGAAGGGAAGGUGUGAGGCAACCCUCGAGUCCCGUGGUUCUAGCACGGUCACUUUCAUUGACUUAUCUUGACUUAAAUUAUUUUUUAUAAAUUAUGUUUAUAAGCCUUAGUUUGCUCACUUUUGAUAUCUACAAUUAUUUAUAAAUAUCUUAUAUUAAAUAAAUUGGUGAAAGUUAAUUUUAGAAAAAUAUUUGUCAAGGUGCAUUAUUGCACCCUUGACUUUUAAAAUGUCUCGAAAAGAUGUGUACGCCGCAUUUUAAUCGAGAGGAAAAUAUAGUAAACGUGUUAAAAUUUAUCUUUCAUUCAUUAUUUGUAAAUUUGUAACAAUUUUAUCUAUUCAAAAAAAAACUAUUUAUUCUUAAUGAUAAACUAAGCAGUUUCUUACCCACAGAGAUAAGUUAAUUUAAUAAACAAUUAUCAAUUAUUAUUAAUAAAUAUAAAAUAUAUAUAUAUAUAUAUAUAUAAUAAAAAUAAAACUAAAAUGACAUAUAAUAAAUAAAUAAAUAAAUAAAGUAAUAAUAAUAAAAAUAAUACAAAUAUCCAAAAGAAAACUAACUGUAUUAUACUGACUUUAUCAUGAUCCUCCAAAUUCUAAUUUACUGUAGCAAGUUAAAAAAGUUUCGGAUCUUUCAAUUAAAUAAAUAAUAAUUCUUAUUUUCUAAUGAUGGUAAAAAUCAUUGAUUUUUUUUUUUUCCAAACAAUUAGUUGACUAAAAAGGAAAUUGAAGACUUUAAUAAAAGGCAACUUUUAUUAUUUUUUAAAGAAGAAAAAAAAGGAUGCAUAAUAAGACAGGAUGUGUUGAUUUUCACUGAUACACUGCCAUAAAUCACUGCAUCGAUAUCGGCGUUGGUGGUGAUUGCACAUGAUCGAUGCGACAGAUCUAAAAGAGAUAUGGACGGAUUCGCGGGUUGAAGCUGAUAGGCUAUUUUUCGGCGGGAUGGUAUGGUUGAGGGUCACUGGAGUUGUUAAUUUGGGAUGCUGGCCGUCCGGUAAUUAGAUCCGGAGGCAGCAUCGAAAAGAGAGAAGGGCGUCGCAGCAGCGCCGUGGUUUGGCCAGCGAACAGCGGGGCCAGAUCUGGGGAGGGGAGUGACGGCGCGGGGCCAACGAAGUUUUUUCGGCAAGUUGGUUAGCUGGAACCAACCAUAAGGGUCGAAUUUUGACAAAAGUAGAAUGGAUUCAGCAAUGGUGAAUUUUUCGAUGGAUUUUCGGUGAGAAUUUGCCGGAAAAUUGAAAGAAAGAUUGACAAUGUUACUUUUAUCCUUCAAAUUUAAUUUUUCAUCUCCCUCUCGUUUCUCUUUUCAGUGAUUUUUCUCCGUUCCCUACUAUUCUAUCUUUAUUGAUUUUUUAUUCCAAAUCCUUUUUUUAUAUGCAUGUAUUUCAUUUUCAUGUGCGUGUAUUGCUAUAUCUGUGAGUGGUGUGUGCAGUAUUUGGUGUCAAACACACAAAUAUACAAAUAUAUAGUAUUUUAAUAGCAUAACAAGUGCAACAAAAUUUUACGUAAUUGAUAAUUUCACAUAUUAAAUAAGGCAACAACAUCACUUAAGCAUUUUUCAUUCAUGCUUUUUGCAAGAACAUCCAUAAAAAACAUUACAUAAUUAAAUAAGAAACAAGAACCUGUUGAUGUAUUAAAACAAUUCGAACACCAUAACCGAAAACUUUGAGAAGAAUUCCAACUUCAACUUUUCUUCUCUUUUUUUUCUCUUUACCUAAUGUUUUUCUUCUGAUGAUUUCAAAUGUUUCACUCACUCAAUUUUCUUACUCUGACUGGUUUUUCUUUUCUUAGUGUCUAGUUUGUAGAAUGAUGUACGUAGUUUUCUCAAAAAAAAAAAUUUUACUGUCAAAGUGUCUGAUAGUAAAUGUACGUUAUCCUUUCCUUGUGUUGAAGAGUCUUUUAUAUAAGGAAUUCUUUGGGGGAACAGUUGGAAGUCAGAUAAGGGAGGAAGGUUGGGUAGUUUAGGAUAAGAAGAAAGUUUUCAAAUUUUAAAUCUUUUUUUCUUUUUUUUUUAGGAUAAUGAUCUCCCUUUUAUUUUAAUAAAUAAAUAAAUUAUAUAUAAAAUAAAUAAUAAUAAUAAUAAUAAAAGAAUAUUAACUAAUCAUUUCUUUAUACUUAAGAAAAAUAUAAUAAAAAUAUAAUUAACUUAAAAACAAAAUAUAAUUGAGAGAAAAUAAAAUUACUAGCUUAUUUAUAAAAAUCUAAAUUAAAAGAAAAUAUUUUUUGAAAAGUUUUUCGUAUUAUUUCAAAAGAAUUUAAACAAAAUAUCUCAAAAUUAACUUUAUUUAGUUAUUUACUUUUUUAACGAAAAAUUUAUUAAAAUAAAAUAAGAGUUUAAAUAAUAUUAUACCAAAUAUAAAUAUUUAAUACCGAAAAAUAUAUAUAUUAAAUUCGGGAGGAUCAAAAAUUACGUGUCUACAUUUUAUCCCUCUUUGUGUGAAAUCUCGCAGAGUUUUCAUACAAAGAAAUAGACAAGAUAUGAUUUUUGACCCUCCAAUUAUUUGAAAGUUAAGGAUAAAAAUAAAAAUAAAAGGAAAAAUGUGACCGAGUCCUGAUUUUGGAUCUCUUACCUAUCUCGGACUAUAAGGGAAUCAGGUCACGAUAAGUUCAAAUGUAACAUGGUGAGAGAAAAAGUUAAAGUCGAGUGAGAUUCCGUCGAGUUUUCGGUUGACGACUUCUGCCUUUUACAUUCAAAUGACUAACAAAAAAUGAAAAAUACAAAUGAAAAUUGUAAUCUCUAGAAUCUUGAUUCUACUCUUCGCGACUUGAUUAUGAAAAUUCACUCUAUUCUUUAAGCGGGCUCCUGACUUGUUAUUUCUUCACCCUGUUCUUCAGGCAGGCUCCAAUGCCGCUUGAAUUACCAAAAUAAGGAAGUACGUCUCAAUGUCACUUGAAUUACCAAACCAAGGAAGUGCGUCUCCUUACCAAUGUCGCUUGAAUUACCAAAAUAAGAAAGUGUGUUUCCUUAUCGAUGUCGCUUGAAUUACCCAAAUAAGAAAGUGCGUCUCCUUACAAAUACCUCUUGAAUUACUCAAAACAAGAAAAUGCGUCUCCUAAUAAAUGUUUUUUUAAUUACCCAAAUAAGGAAGUGCGCCUCCUUACAAAUGUUGCUUGAAUCAUCCAAUUAAGGAAGUGCGCCUCCUUACAAUUGUCGCUUGAAUUACCCAAACAAGAAAGUGUAUCUCCUUACCAAUGCCGCUUGAAUUACCCAUUAGGAAGUGCGUCUCCUUACAAAUGUCGCUUGAAUUACCCAAAUCAGGAAGUAUGUCUCCUUACAAAUGUUGCUUGAAUUGUCCAAACAAAUAAGUGUGUCUCCUUACAAAUGUCGCUUGAAUUAUCAAACAAGGAAAUGCGUCUCCCCACAAAUGCUGCUUGAAUUACCAAACAAGGAAGUGUAUCUCCUUACAAAUGUUGCUUGAAUUACCAAACAAGGAAGUAGUCUCCUUAUAAAUGUUGCUUUGAGAAAUUACGACCUUUGAUGUUUAGAUUUUGAAAUCAUUGAUUUGAAGGUAACAUGUGUUCCUGAAUAAUGAAACAUGAUAGACGUCAUCGAAAACUCGAAUAGAAAUUUACUUCAACUCUCGAUUUACAACUCUUUCUUUUCUUCAACUUGUUCUUCAGGCAAUCUCCUGGAUUUUCUUUUAUGAUUUUUCAAAAUAUGUUCCUGAACUCAAAAUAAAAGGUGAAACAGAAAAAUAACAUCUCAUUUAUCAAAAGGGUCCUGGACAUAAAAUAAAUUCACAUUCUUUAGGGGGAUCCUGAUCAUAAAAAAUAAAUUCUCAUUCUUCAGGAGGGUCCUGUCCCAUUUUUUAGGAGAGUCCUGAGCAGAAAGUAAAAUUCAAUAAUUACGAACAAAAUUUUUCCCCCAAGUUGUACUAGAAAAUUUUGUGAGCAUCAUCAGAUUACAGUUUUUGAAAAGUACAGAAAAAGUGUGAAUCAAAGCCCUGCUAAAGAAAUGCGUCUCGUCAGAGUAAAACUGAUGACCAAAAUUAGAAAGUACGUCUCCUAAGAGUUAAAUUAAAGGACUCGACUAGAAAGUGUGUCUUCUAGGAGUGAAUGUUCAAGUUAGGAAGUGUUUCACCUAACAAAUGAAAACUGACUUAUUCAGACUAGGAAGUGCGUCUCCUAGGGGUUAAAUGAAAUGACUAGACUAGAAAGUGCGUCUUCUAGGAGUGAAUGUUCAAGUUAGGAUGUGUUUCACCUAACAAAUGAAAACUGACUUAUUCAGACUAAGAAGUGUGUCUCCUAGGGAUUAAAUGAAAUGACUCAACUAGAAAGUGCGCCUUCUCAGAAUGAUGGUUCAAGUUAGGAAGUAUUUCACCUAACAAAUGAAAACUAACUUAUUCAGACUAGGAAGUGCGUCUUUUAGGAGUGAAUGGUUCGAGUUAGGAAGUGCAUCACCUAACAAAUGAGACUUGAAUUAUCCAGAUUAGGAAGUACGUCUCCUAGGGGUUGAAUUUUUACCAUAAUUUGAUUAUCAAACCUGUGCGACAACAUUGCUUCCUGCAUUUGUGAAAAUGAGUUUUUGCAACCAUUGAUAUUUAUUCUCUGAAGUUCUUCAUUUGAAAGUAACAUGUUUCCUGUUUCAUCAAAGAAAAUUUUGUGAGUUCAAAAAUAUGGUGGCAGGUUUGUGGCUUUAGCUUUCAUGGCAAUUACUCUUGCCCUCGUCAUAUUUGACCUUGCUUCCAACCAUUAACAUGCUUCACCAACUUGAUGCAUCAUUGACCCGAACUCAUAUUAUCAAAAGUGACUUUGAAAUAAACACAGUAUUUCUGCUUUGUCAUGCUCCUCAAAUAAAUCCUUUGAACCCUGGUAUUUUCAUGAGUUCCCAGACUCGUCUGUUGACAAAACUUAUUGUAUGCCUUAUUUUGGCUCGCAAUCAUGUCUCUUUCACGUGUUGGAUUUUUAUCUUGCUUUGUCCAAUUGAAGAAGUUUGUAGUAAGUUUUGAGAUCAUUUCUCGCUUGUUUUGAAAUGGACUUGACUCAAGGGCACGAGAAAAAUGACAAUGAUAAAUUUUAUUUUAUUUUGAAUAACUGACUCAAGAAGAAAAAAAAUAGAAAUAUAGAGAAGGAAGAAAAGACAAUGAAUGUCCCUUUUCUAAAAUAAAAAAAUAAAAAUAAAGAAAAAUUUAUCUGAAAAUGAUAGUCAACUCUAAUGAUUAUAACAUAUAUUUUGAAUUAAACAACCUGAUCUACCCAUACUAAUCAUGACAACUCUUGUUCACUCAUUGAGUUUGAAAUGGAAUCAAUCUUGAAUAUGUUCCCUCUAGAUCACAAUCCUCCUUCGGCUAGUGGCACCUUAAUGGGUUUUUGCCAACGCCUAUCUCAUUUUCAUUUCUUUCUCAGCUCACUUUCGCCUUAUGGUGCCCAAAAGGGUUUUCACCAAUAAGACUCUCUCAUUUUUACUCAUUCAUUUUAUUUUAUUUUUGAAAAUAAUAUCCAAAUACGAAACAUCAUGUACCCAUAACAUGUUUAGCCUUGACAUUUUCAAAGAUCGAUCUGAAGGUCUUUCUUUGAUUGUAACUUGGUUUUUGGAAAGGAUUAGAAAGAAAGGUCGGCAUAAGGCUCAAAAAAUUACAUAACAUUAGGUGAAACAUACAACUUUUGAAAUCGAUUUUUUUAAGGAAAUAAACCUUGCCCCAGUUUCAUUUCAUUCAGGGUAAUUUGAAUUUUCUUUUGGUUGAACCGAACCCCAGAAUAGGGCUGCCUACGUAUCUUGUCAUAGCAAGAAUCAGGUCGAACGUAGUUCAAACAUCUUGUUCUUUUGCUUGAUUUUUUUUUUACUUUUCUCUCUUUUCCUUCCUCCUUUUUUUAGAGAGAGAGAUAUUUUUCCUGACUCCAUUUUUUCUUGACACUUUUCUAACUCUAUUCUUUUUCUUGACACUUUUUUUUUGAAAAAUUUUUUCAGACUCUACUUUGAUUCCAAAAGAGGGAUAUAAAAGAAAUAAAACAAAAGCUCAAAAGGGGUAACAAAGGAUGACACAACAUUUGGAUAACAGAAUGAAAUGCCUUCUUCAUAUCAAUCCUUAAAAAAUGCAAGUAUAUAACAUGCAAUCUAGGAAUGAAACAUGAAGAUCAUACACAUCUUUUCAAUAUUGACCAUGACUAAGCACAUGCACGUGUGUCACUUCUUUUAAACUUGUAAACCAUACAGGUCUACUUGUAUUGUACUUUUCUUACAACAGAUGACUCUUUUUUUAGCUAACUUUCUUUUGCUUCUUCUGACAAUAGAAACUAUAUAUCCUCUGGUUGAUCUCAUUAAAAAAUGCUUGAGUUGAACCUUCUCAUUGAAGAUCAAUUCAUUUUUUAUUCACAAAGUGAUUGCCUCAAAAUAUUCAAGUGAGGAUGUAACUAGGUCCCCAAAACAUCUCAACACUUUACUUAUUUUUCUUACACUUGUUUUUCAACUCUAGGUUCUUGCUCAAAUGUUUCAGCAUUUGAUUGGGUUUUAAGUUUUGGCUGAAAAUUUAACAUGCUUAUCAUAUUACCAGAAUCACCAUAGAAAGAGUUCUUUGAAGAAAAAAAAUAUAUAUUGAGAAAUAAAAAUAAAAGGGACACAUAUUUUGUUGAUAGAAAGAUAGAAGGGUUUAAAUAAAAAUGAUGAUAAGAAAAUCAGACAAGAUAGGUCCUAACCUACAACCCUAAAAUAAUUCGGGUAACAGAAAAUAAAAUAAAAUAAACUACUAGGCCUCUCCCUAGGGGUGACUUCUAAAUUGCUCAGCCUGACAACUUAGCCAUUGAUUUGCAUAUCAACACGACAAUAGCUUCCACCACGAUCAAUAUCCUGCACCAUAAUCAAUUUAUCUUGAAUCAUUCUUUCUAUUUCUCUUUUCAAAGCACGACAAUCUUCAGUACUAUGACCCUGAACAUUAGAAUGAUAUACACAUCGUACAUUAGGGUCAAAGUUUCUUGAUUGUGGGUUAAGGGUAUACCCAAGAAGAGGAGUGAUCAUGUCUUUUUGUCUCAGUUUCUAGAAUAAACUGGUAUAUGAUUCUCCAAUUGGUGUGAAACUAUCCCUUAGCUUUUGUCUCUUUUCAUUAUUUGGCUUAGAGCGAAAAUCGGGUCUAGAGGGGCUUGGGUAUGUUUGGAGAAUUGGAGAAUGAUUUUGAGAGAUUGGUGCACGCCAUUGCGGGUAAGAAAGAGUCCGAACAUAUGGCUGUGCAUUAUAAAUAGAAUACUGAGGAGAUGGAAUGGAAUAUAAUGGAUUUUAUGGUGGAACAUAGUUUUGUGGAUGGUUAUAUGGGUCUUGGACAUAAAUUUGGGAUUGAGAUUGUGCGUAAGGGUGACGCAUACCUCUCCAAUUUUUCCGUGGACCUGGUAUAAUAGUUGCUACAUCCUCUUUUCUUUUGUUUCCACCAAAGCUUCCUGGACCACUUUGAAUUGCUUGUGUUGUUGCUUUUAAAGCGGCUUGGCUAAUAAUCUUUUCGGACUUAAUUCCACUCUCUACCAUCUCUCCAAUUUUAAUAACCUCGACAAAUGUAUUUCCAAUAGUAGAAAGCAAAUGAUGAAAAUAAUAAGGUUCUUGUGCCUGCUGAAUGAUAUCAAUCAUUUCAGACUCUUUUAUCGAUGGUCUGACUCUUGCAGUCUGUUCUCCAUCUGAUAGUAUAUUCUCGAAAACUUUUAGUUGUAUUUUUUAUCAUAUUAGUCAGUGUGGUACGAUCUGGGACUAUCUCGAUGUUUUAUUAAAACUGUUGAACAAAAUUUUGAGCCAUGUCAUCCCACAUGUGCCAACGGGAAAUGUCUUAGUAAAUAAACCAUUCAAAAGCUACCCCUUUCAAACUUUCUCCAAAGUAAGCCAUGAGCAAUUCUUUUUUUCCUCCUACUCCCCUUAAUUGAUUAUAAAUCAAGUGAGCUACAAUAUCGUCAUGACCUUCGUAUUUGUCAAACUUUGGCAUUUUUAACCCCAAAGGCAAAUGGACAUCAGGAAACAUACACAAAUCCUUGUAUAAAACACUCUUUGGUCCUCCCAAUCCUUGGAUAUUUCUUAUACUCUGCUCCAAGCUUCUUACUUUCCUAGCCAUCUCAUCUUGUUCCUCAUUCUUAACAAUCUUUUCAAUCACGAUAGAAGAAUCGUGUUGAUGAGCAUGACAAUGUGGAUUUUGAGGUUUGAAAGUCAUUUCAGGAGGAUACAAUAGAUCAUGACUUGGUUCCCCCAUAUUCUUUUGUGUUGUCGAUUGAAGACCCGCAGUAGCUGGUGCUACAGAAGUGAAAAAUGAAUUAUUUGUGACAGACGAAUUUGGUGGGCCCGUGGUAGAAGUACCUAUAGCGCCAAACACAUUAGCAUAUGGGCAGAAUCCAAGCGGGUAAAAUGGAUCGCUAGUUUGAGCUUAAGUAGGAUUUGGAUCAUUCAUAUUCGCAAGUCCAGGGAUUAAGUAAGGCGGGGCUUGUCCAUUUAACCAAGCUUGGUACAGUUCCGUCAUCUAUUGUUUCAAUAACUUAACCUCUUCCAUUGAUGCUAAUUCUGGCAAAAUCAACUGAUUUUGCUCCUCCUCACUGUCAGGCCCUACACUCUAUUUGCGGGUCAUUUUUCUUUUUCCCUUGUAUCUGGUGUUGUACAGAUGUGAUGCCGGUUUAAACAACUAGCCAACCACCAACUACUUUAUUUUUUUGUUAUCAAGUAGCAAGAAGGUGAGUGUUAUAUAUUUAACACAUUAUAAUGUCACGUUGUAUGUUAUGCUUCUAGAUGCAUUUUCCAACCUAUUAGGGAAGACUUUAUGUUUCAUCCCGGCUUUCUAGGCGCACGUUUUUGAAAAAUUUUGAUCAAACCCUUUAGAGGGUUGCCUACGUAUCAUGCCAAGACAUGAAUCAGAUCUUGCGUAAUUCGAAAAAAUUGAAGAUACGAAGAAAUAUACCUUUUUUAUUAUUAUUAUUAUUAUUUGAAAUAUGAGAAACAAAUUUUUUUAUUUUUGAAUAACAUUUUUAAUUUUUGAAAAUAUUUUUUUUUUUUAGAAGGAAAGACAUCCAAAUUUUUUAAGAUCACCGAAUCCAUUGAGGACUACCUACGUAUCUUAUUAAAAUAAGAAUCAGGUGUGCAUAGUUCUUGAAAAUUAAAGAUACAAAGAAAUAUACCUUUUUUUUAAUAAUGAGAAAUUUAUUUAUUUAUUAAAUAAUAUGUUUUUUCAUUUUUAAAAAUAACUUCUUUUUUUUAGUUUAAAAGGAAAGACACCCAUUUUUUAAAAUAUCACCGGAUCCAUUGAAGACUGCCUACAUUUCUCAUUAAGAUGAGUAUCAGGUGUACGUAGUUCUUGAAAUAUAUGUCGUACAAAACUAAGCCUCAAGACCCCUAAAGGUUCACGGCUGCUAAGAUUUAUAUAGAUUUUAUUUUGUAAAACUUAGCCUAAUGAUCCCUAAAGAUUCAGGGCUAUUAAGAUAUAUAUAAAAGUUAGAGUUGAGAAUUAGAAAAAUAAUUAUGAAAAUAAUCAUAUUUUCAAAAUAUUCCCCAAUAAGUCUAUGAAUAAUUUUUCAAAAGGUAGGGUUGUAUCCUGAGAAGGACUUCCUACGUAUCCCACUAAGAUGUGAGAAUCAGACCCUCGUAGUUCAUGAAGAUCGUAAAACUAUGUUACUAUAUAUUUAAAAUUUUUCCCUUCUUUUAAAAAUAAAAUUUUUCUUUGAAAAAAAAUAAUUCACUAAAUGUGAGGAUAAAUUAAUCUCUUGCAUUUUAAAGUUGUCUAAAGCCGGUCAACAAACAAAUAGUCUUCCAAAUAAAUGUCAAAGAGCACGUAGGAUGCACACGUUGGUCUUUAUAAAAUAGGUCACUUGUCCUAGAUAGACCCGGCUCCUGUGCCAAGUCCCGCUAAGUCAAAUGCAUAUGAUGCAAAUAAAGAGGCACCUAAUAGGGAUAACCAGAUUCUGAGUUUUUAGUUCUUCUAAGUUUGAGCCAAAUAGGGAUAGGUAUCUGGACUGGCUUACCCGAGCGAACACUUGAGUCGGGGAGGGACAACUUGAUCUAUAGCAGGGCAACAUCGCCUUCGUUGUUGAUCCGAACACUGCCUAACAUAUGUGACUAUAAUCCUUCACUGGGUGCCUUGAAACUCCGGCUAUCUCAAAAAGAAGGUAGGUUGCAUACGCUACAUUCCUUCUAUCAUAUUUCAGAGACUCAUAGGAGGUGUGCAAGAGAAAACAGUAUAUAAUACAGUUCAAUCAAUAUCAAAGCGGUAAAUAAGUGACAAGUAGAACAUAAGGCCAACAAACACAAUAUCAACAAUAAUUAAAGCAAGUAUAAGUCAAUAUCAAAAGCUCGAAUUCUAGUUAGAUCCCCAGCAGAGUCGCCAGAGAUGUCACACCCUUUUUCAGCCCGAAGGGUCGAGUCAAAGGGUUUUUAUAAUUAAAGUGAAGGUUUUGAAUAGGGAUUAAUUUAUUUCCAGAGUCGCCACUUAGAAUUGAGUUAUGGUGUUCCAAGUCACCUUUUUGAAUCCUUAGUCAAAAGGAAAUGACUCUUUGUUGGUCUGCGAAAACAGAAGACUGGGUAAGGAAUUCUAUUGACCGAAGGAAAGGUGUGAGGCAACCCUCGAGUCCCGUGGUUCUAGCACGGUCACUUUCAUUGACUUAUCUUGACUUAAAAUUAUUUUUUAUAAAUUAUGUUUAUAAGCCUUAAUUCGCUCACUUUUAAUAGCUACAAUUGUUUAUAAAUAUCUUAUAUUAAAUAAAUCGGUGAAAGUUAAUUUUAAAAAAGUAUUUGCCAAGGUGCAUUAUUGCAUCCUUGACUUUUAAAAUGCCUCGAAAAGAUGUGUACGCCACAUUCUUAAUCGAGACGAAAUAUAUAUUAAACGUGUUAAAAUUUAUCUAGUGUUAAAAAUGUUCAUUCAUUAUUUGUAAAUUUAUAUCAACUUUAUCUAUUCGAAAAAUAAACUAUUUAUUCUUAAUGAUAAACUAAGCGGUUUCUUACUCACAGCGAUAAGUUAAUUUAAUAAACAAUUAUCAAUUAUUGUUAAUAAAUAUAAAAUAUAUAUAAAAAAUAAAAAUAAAAUGACAUAUAAUAAAUAAAUAAAUAAAUAAAAUAAUAAAGUAAUAAUAAUAAAAAUAACACAAAUACCCAAAAAGAAGACUAACUAUAUUAUACUGACUUUAUCAUGAAUCUCCAAAUUCUAAUUUACUGUAGCAAGUUAAAAAAGUUUCGGAUCUUUCAAUUAAAUGAAUAAUAAUUCUUAUUUACUAUUGAUAGUAAAAAUUAUUUAUUUAUUUAUUUAUUUAUUUAUUUAUUUAUUUAUUUAUUUUGUAAACAAGUAGUUGACUAAAAAGGAAAUUGAAGACUUUAAUAAAAGGCAACUUUUAUUAUUUUUUAAAGAAGAAGAAAAAAAGGAUGCAUAAUAGGACAGGAUGAGUUGAUUUUCACCGAUGACGGUGCCAUAAAUCACUGCAUCAGUAUAAAAUUCGAUGGUGAUUGGACAUGAUCGACAUGACAGAUCUGAAAGAGAUAUGGCCGGAUUCGCCGGUUGAAGCUGAUAGGCCGAUUUUCGACGGGAUGGUAUGGUUGAGGGUCACCGGAGUUGUUAAUUUGGGAUGCUGGCCGUCUGGUAAUAAGAUUCGGAGGCAGCAUCGACAAGAGAGAAGGGCAUCGUAGCGGCGCCAUGGUUUGGCUGACGAACAGCAGCGAAAGAUCUGGGGAGGGGAGUGACGGCGCGGGACCGACGAAGUUUUUUCGGCGAGUUGGUUCGCUGGAACCGACCAUAAGGGUCGAAUUUUGACAAAAAUAGAAUGGAUUCGUCAAUGGUGAAUUUUUCGAUGGAUUUUUGGUGAGAAAAUUUGCCGAAAAAUUCAAAGAAAGAUUGACAAUGUUCCUUUUCUCCUUCAAAUUUAAUUUUUCAUCUCCCUCUCGUUUCUGUUUUCACUGAUUUUUCUUCGUUCCCUACUAUUCUGUCUAUGUUGAUUUUUUAUUCCAAAUUCAUUUCAAUUUUUAUAUGCAUGUAUUUCAUUUUCAUGUGCGUGUAUUGCUAUAUCUGUGAGUGGUGUGUGCAGUAUUUGGUGUCAAACACACAAAUAUACAAAUAUAUAGUAUUUUAAUAGCAUAACAAGUACAACAAAAUUUUACGUAAUUGAUAAUUUCACAUGCUAAAUAAGGCAACGACAUCACUUAAGCAUUUUUCAUUCAUGUUUUAUGCAAGAACAUCCAUAAAAAAUAUUACACAAUUAAAUAAGAAACAAGAACCUAUUGAUGAUUAAAACAAUUCGAACACCAUAACCGAAAACUUUGACAAGAAUUCCAAUUUCAACGUUUCUUCUUUCUUUUUUAUCUCUUUGCCUGAUGUUUUUCUUAUGAUGAUUUCGAAUGUUUCACUCACUCUCUUUUUUUACUCUGACUUUUUUUUCUUUUCUCAGUGUCUAGUUUGUAGAAUGAUGUACGUAGUUUUCUCUAGAAAAAAAAUUUACUGUCAAAGUAUCUGAUAGUGAAUGUACAUUCUCCUUUCCUGGUGUUGAAGAGUCUUUUAUAGAGGAGAUUCAUGGGAGAACAGUUGGAAGUCAGAUAAGGAAAGGAGGUUGGGUAGUUUAGGAUAAGAAGAAAGUUUUCAAAUUUUAAAUCUUUUUUUUUUAGGAUAAUGAUCUCCCUUUUAUUUUAAUUAAUAAAUAAAUUAUAUAUAAAAUAAAUUAUAAAAAAUAUAAUAAAAAUAUAACUAACUUAAAAAUAAAAUAUAAUUAAGAGAAAAUAAAAUUACUAGCUUAUUUAUAAAAAUCUAAAUUAAAAGAAAAUAUUUUUUGAAAAGUUUUUCGUAUUAUUUCAAAAAAAUAUAAACAAAAUAUCUCAAAAUUAACUUUAUUUAGUUAUUUACUUUUUUAACGAAAAAUUUAUUAAAAUAAAAUAAGAAUUUAAAUAAUAUUAUACCAAAUAUAAAUAUUUAAUAUCGAAAAAUAUAUAUAUUAAAUUAGGAAGGAUCAAAAAUUACGUGUCUACAAUCGUAAAAGGAUUUCACUGGUAAAUUUGAGAGAAUAAUCAUAUUAAUUUCUUUGGGUAAGUCAGCCAUUAGAAGGUUUACCUAUUCAAUAUUUGCCCCAUAGUAGAAGAGAAGAAUUAUUAUGCCUUCGAGGCAAGGUACAAUUAUAUUUAUAGAAGAAGAAAACGUUGAUUAGGUUAGUGUAAAGGUUUGACACCAGAAAAUUGGUGAAUAAUUCUGUUUAUUAUAUUUAGUACAAAGUUAACAUGAUCCUGCAAAAAUCAAGGAACCGACCUUAUAAUAAAAAUCCCUAAAUUUAAGCAUGUCAAUUAAGAGUUAACUCCUCAAAAUGUGAUUAGCUUGUGUAAACAUCCCACUAAAGUAAUGUUUAUUUCUUUUGUGACAACAUUAUUACUGAACUAUGCACUUCUAUUCAUUAUAAGGUAAAACUAAAAAAUUGUUAAGGAUAUGUUUGGAGAACCACAAGAAAAGUAAAAUUAGAUAUAGUUACAUAGUCCAAUUCUCAAUUAGAAAUAGAGAAUUAGGUGCAAUUACGUGAUCUAAUUACAAAGUUACAUUUUAUUUCUUUUUUAAAAAAAUAAAAUUAAUAUCCUGUUCUUUAAAUUUCUUUUUUAUUUUUAUUAUUUUAAUUUCUUUUUUAUUUUUACUUUUUUUCAUUUUACAUAUUUAUCUUUCAUCUUUUUUCUUCUCAUUUUUCAACCUUUACUUCUUAUGAUUCAAUAUAAUUACUCGUAUUUUUUUCCUUAUUUAGCGCAUUAUUGUAUUUUUAUUCUAGUGUUUGAAUUAAAGUAGUAUUUCAUUAUUGAAUGAGAUGACUUAUGUAUUUCCUUUCUUUUGAAUUAUUUACACGUUGGAAUUUUAUAUAAGAGUAUUGUGUUUUUUUCUUGAAUUUUCAAUUUGUAUUUUAUUUUAUGUUUCAAUUUAUUUGUUUUAGUACUAUAGACUUGUUACUUUAUAUUGCAUGUCACUUUGAAUUGUCGAGUUAAUUUUUCAAAUUGCCAUUGAACUUGUGCAAACAUCCUACUAAAGUAACUUUUUUUAAUUUCUUUUAGGAAAAUAUUGUCAUUAAACUAUGUACAAAAUAAGGUGAAACUAAAAAAUAGUUAAGGAUAUAUUUGGAAAGCCAUAGAAAAAUUAAAAUUAUAUGUUAUUAGACAAUUUGCAAUGACAUGCAAUAUGAAAUAGUAUGUCUAUACUAUUAAAACAAAUAAACCGAAACAUAUAUUCAAAAUUCAAGAGAAAAAUAUAAUACUCUUGUAUAAAAUUUCGAAGAGUAAAUAUAAUUCAGAAACACAUAAGUCUAUAAUCUCAUUCAAUAAUAAAAUAUUACUUUAAUUCGAACACUAGAAUAAAAAUUAUAAAAAUGCAAUAAUGCGCUAAAUAAAAAAAAAAUAUGAGUAAUUAUAUUGAACCAUAAGAAGUAAAGUUAAAAAAUGAGAAGAAAAGAGAUGGAAGAUAAAUAAUGUAAAAUGAAAAAAAAAAAGUAAAAAUAAAAAAGAAAUUAAAAUAAUAGAAAUAAAAAAGAAAUUUAAAAGAAAAAGAUAUUGAAUUUUAUUUUUUUUAAAAAAAGAAAUAAAAUGUAACUUUGUAAUUAUAUCACGUAAUUGCACCUAAUUCUCUAUUCCAAAUUGAUAAAGACUAUGUAAUUACAUUUAAUUUCACUUUUCUUGUGGUUCUCCAAACAUAUCCUUAACAAUUUCUUAGUUUUACCUUAUAAUGGAAAGAAGUGUUCAGUGACAAUAUUGUCCUAAAAGAAACAAAAGUUACUUUAAUGGAUAUUUACAUAAGUUCAAUAAAUUAUUUAUUAGUUAAAAAACAACCUUCUCUAAUAAAUAGACAUUAAUUUAAGACAAAAAAAAAAAAAGAUAUUAUAGAUAAUUAAACAUGCUGGUGUCUUACCGUGUGACGACUCUUGAGAAUUAAUUAACAUAACAAAGUUUCUUGGAGAACAAGUUUUUGUGAUAAUAUAAAUAUGAUGUUGUUUUAGCUCAAUUGUAUCACAACUUCUCCUUAAUAAUAUAUCUUUUGUUACUAUUUGAUAAUCGAGUUUACUCUUUGGAAUGGCAAAUCUUCCUGUGGAAAUCACUAUGAUUAUCCUCUCAAAUUUAUCGAUAAAAUCUCUAUUAUGUACGAUUUAAGUGUGUUUCUAAGCCAUGGCGUUGUUGGAUUUCAAGUCCAAAUUUGCGGCUCUCGAAUCAACAGCAAAAAGGAGUAAUGCGCAGCUCAUUAAUCCGCUUCAUAUAUUUUUCCUCGCAUAAAAAGGAAUCAUACCCAAGCUUUUGCAUUGUUGGGUUCUUGUCAUGGUCUUAUAUUGAUAAAUACUUACUUAUUUGUGGAAUCCUGUCACGCGAUUUUCCAUUUUCUUAUGGAAGUUCCUUUCCUCCUUUUCCAUUUUUUACUUUUAGGCAUAUGUGAAGAUGCGGGAAGCACGAUUGGUGUGACUUCAGUGGAGUGUAAGAUGCGGGAAGCACGAUUGAGAUGGUUCGGACACGUGAAGAGGAGGGGCAUGGAUGCCCCGGUCCGUAGGUGUGAGAGGCUAGCGUUGGAUGGUUUUAGACGGGGUAGGGGUAGACCGAAGAAGUACUGGGGUGAGGUGAUUAGGCGGGACAUGGAACAGUUACAGCUCACCGAGGACAUGACCCUAGAUAGGAAGGUCUGGAAGACGCGAAUUACGGCAGAGGAUUAGGGCCUGUUCGGGUCGCUAAUGUAGGGAGGUAAUUGGUGGGGGUGUAUUCCUGGUAUGAUUCCGUAUUCAAUGUUCUGUUCCGUGUUCCGUGUUCUAUGUUUGUUACGAAUCUGUGUGCUUUCCUCUGCUUUAUAUUCCUGCAUUCAGAGGUAGAGGUAUGGACUGCGUACAUCUUACCCCCCCAGACCCCACUAAGUGGGAAUACACUGGGUUUGUUGUUGUUAGGCAUAUGUGAAAAAUGUAACACCAAAAGGAUGUUUAAGUAAUGCUUUCGCGCAAAGUUGAUGCAAUAAAAUUCUCCUGUCAAACUUGUCUGAUGGAUAUGUGGAAAAUCCAGAGAGAAAGAAUUCCCUGUUGGGAAACUUGUCAUUGAAAAGUAAGUUUUCCCAGUAUGAAUAAUUUAUUUAUCGUAUCAAUCCUCAUGUCCUCGUAUGCUAAGUUCCUAUACUACAGUUUGGUAUCCGUGGAGCCACUGUUCAAGCUUUAUCACCUUUGCAACUUCAUCACCGUAACAAGAUUGCCAUUCAAGCUGAUGAGGAUUUCGGGAAGAUUGUCAUGGCAGUUCCUCUUUUAGUCUGUAAGUCCUUUAGUUUAAUAAAUUUAUUUUAGCAUUUUGGUUCAACUGGUUUAAGAGCUAUUUGCCAUUCCUUUGCUUCUUGGUAUCUAUUUUUGUGUGUUCCAUUUUGUUUAUCCUAACUCGUGUUUGUCAAUGGUGUAUGUUCAGCAAAAGCUCUUGAACUCUUUCUGCAAGAUCUUUGUGACCAUACAUAUGAUAUCAACCUCAAAAAAGGAUCAAAAACUAUGAAUUCUUUCCAUUUGUAAGUUUAGUUAAUUGUUGUUUAUGAUAUUACACACUGUAUUAGUUCUUUGGUUAACAACUAACUUGGUCCCUCUACGUUACUCGAAACAAUGUAUCCAGAUUUUUAAUGAGCUUGAUUUCCUCAAGGGUGUAAUGAGCGGAAUUCAUCUAGGUGGGUAGGAUGCUGGUGCUGAAUCUGCUACCAAAAGAAGGUUAAAAAAUUAUACUUCCUAUGAUUAAUUUUGAUUUACAUCAUUAACAGAAACUUUAAUGCACUAGACUGCCCUUUAGUGACAUAGUUCAUAAAUAGUGCACAUUCAUUCUAGCAGUAACUUAGUAGCAAAAUAAUCUCACAUUGGGAACAAACAAACAAAAUCUGCGUACAGUUUAGUGUAAGUGAAGGUAGUGAGUGAUGCCUAAAUUUUGAUUUUACCCGACGAAAGCUACUUUUAUCUAUAUGACACCAUUGAGAUAAUUCGACAAGUCAUAUUUCACCUUUGGAAUACUGAGAGUUGAUUUUGUUAUUGUAGUGUCAAAAAACUAUAUGAAUCAGUAAUUAUAGCAAAAGACCAUCAAUAGCUGACAAAUUAAAAUACAAUCAAAAAUCAUAAAUUACUUAUAAAAUGUUGAAAAUUUAUCAAAAUAUUUCAUCCAUAAUAAAAAUUAAUGCUGAAAAGACAAAAGGUUACAUUCCUGAUUCCACAGAAUGAAUCUUAUUCAAGUCUCCUAAAUAAUCUGCGACUCAUGUUAUUUUCUCUUUUUUAUGUCUCUUUUUCUCUUAUCAUUGGAGAAAUGUGCACUAGGUUCUUCAUCAACGUCUACCACAGACAACACUCUCAAGUCUGCUUCUCUUUGCAGGGUAUUUGAAGCAGAGUUUACUUCAUUUUCAGCUAUAAAAUUCUAAAAUUUCAAGAAAAAAAAUUGUCAAAAUCAGGUAUCUUUAUGAACUUUAACAAAUGAUCAAUAUAUCUACAUAUAAGUUUGUGACGAGUGAGUUGUUCAUGACUGAACUCUGGAUACUGUGAAAGAAAAAUAAUAACAUCACCAACAUUCUAUAUUCUAAGUUAAUUUAUUUUAACAUAAACCAACAAAUUCAAUUUUUCUGAAAGUAAUGUGAACAUAUAAUGCAUGUUUCUUCACUCAGAUAGGGACGAUAUUGCUUGAUAAGAUCCUUAUCAUCACUAAAUUUAAGAGCAGAGUAAAACUUCAUCAUGUUGCUCUAUAUUAUUUUUCUUGACGGCCACUUUAAACAUGAUCUCUCUAUCCAAAGUGUUAUCCAUCUCUAAUGGAUAUGAAGAUACACCAACAUUCUAAAAUAAAUAGUGGUAUUAGAAAAGGUAAAACAAACAGAUUCAAAUAUAAUUUUAUUAUUUUACCUCAAGUAAUCCUUUCACUAAUUCAAUGAAAGUCUUCCUUAUGAGUUUUAUCUCAUAUUGGUUCCAAAACAAUAAAGUAAUAAAGUCAGUCUCUACAAGAUCUGUUACUUUCGAGAAUAAUUUAUAUCGGCAAGACAUGUUUCAAUUUUUUUUUUAUUUUUGUAAUUAUAAUUUAAUUUAAUCAUGAUUUUUUUAAAAACUUGUGAAAUGCAGAACUCUCAAGGCUUUCACACGUUUUGCAAUAAAAUUUACUGUCAAGUUCAUCAAUCUCCCUAUUGCAAUUCUUACAGCUCAGGUAUGACCUUUUUUUUAUCAAGAUCUAUAUGUACUAUGGUUGUUCCUUCCUAUAUUUAUUAAAAUAGCAUAGCUAAAAAAUAUUCACUUGUUAUACUAUAAUUUAACAUUGAAAUAAAUGAAUUAGUGUUACUCACGUCCAUGCACUCAAUUAACUACUUGAUUGUUUUAACUUCAACUGCUCCAAAAACCAACUCAUCUGAAAUAGAAUAGUUUUGUUGAGAGGACAGUUGACUAAUCAUCUCGCAUUUAUCUCCACACACAUUUUCUAGUCUAUAAGUAUUGAACUUUGUUAAAAUGUCUAUCAUAUAAAAAUUUCUCUAGAUUACUAAAAAAAAUAUAAAUGGAGUACGUAGGAGUAUAUAUAAACCAAAAAAUAAAAUCAACAACUUUAGACAGUUCAGGAUUAAUCCAUAAUCUUGAAGCAGUUCAAAAAUUACUUACAGAAAAUUUUUCUACACUUGUGUGUAUAUAUGUAAUUAAAUGCGGAUAUAUAUACACUUUAAAUAAAAUUUUUAAAUGUACAUUGUUAGUUAAAAAUCUUUAAACUUAUGAGCCUGUAUGAGUUGCAUAACCACAAUGACAGGUUUAUCAGUAGAUUCGUCCAAGUGUGGACGAAUUUGUUAAACAAAUUCCGCCUAGAUAGUAGCUUCAAUUAUGUUAUUCCUUUGUAAAAAUGCACAAUCUAAUCAUAUAAAAAAUGGAACAACCUAAGAUGUAUCAAUGGUUAUAAUUAUAUAUGCAUUCUUACUUAUAAUCCUUGAGUUCCACAUUCAUAAAAGCAUUGAACUUAUCACCUUGUUUGUAUUCUUGUAAAGGUCCAUAAGCAACGAUCUCUCCUACGAUGUCUAUCAAAAUUGAAAAAAGUGCUUCUACUUAGUAUGACAUAUAAUUGGUGAAACAUUCAUACUAAAAAUUUGUGUAAAAAAUAAUUAUCGAAAGGCUUAGUCUCAUUAAUAUCGACUUGCUUUAUCAAAUACUCAAAUAAGUGAAAUUUAAAUAAAAUCUAAUCAAAGCAUGGAUCGACAGUUUUCUGUAUGCUUGUUCUAUGAGUGAACAUCAGUUUCAUUUUGUGAUUGUUGGUCUUUACUUUUGACUUAUUUUGUACAAUUUUUUUAUUUCUGGUCUGAACUUAGGGAUAACAGAGGUUUCAAUGAAUGCCUGAAUAUGAUCACCCUAUAAACAAACAAUCCAUAAUAAUGUCAUAUGCUUUCCAAAAGGAAAAAAAAAAUAUUACAAAAAAUAGAUAAUGAAGUAGGUAGACCUUGUUUCUAAUGAUACUAUCUUGUUGGGAUUUUCAUGUUUUGAAACUUGCCACAAAUGCAUUAUACAAAUCACAUAUAGAGUUGAUUUUAGCAAAUAUUUUUUUGAUAGGUCUUGGAUGGUGUGUUUUUCCCUCAUGAUGAACUUGAAAUACAUUGAUAUAAUAUGUAUUUAUAAUAAUGUUGUAGUUUUUGAAUAAAAGUGUUGGGACAAAACUAUAUUAAGUUCAAAUUCAAAUUAAGGUAUGAUAAACACUAAAAAUUGAGAUAAAAUUAAAACUCUGAAAUUAUAGAUGUAGUUAUAAUCAUUAAUAAAAAUUUAAAAUUGUUAUCUGAUUAAAGUAUCUUUUUAAUUGCUGAAAAUUAGGAUAAUUUAGGUAAAAAGAUGUAGUUAUAAUCAUCAAUAAAAAUUUAAAAUUGUUAUCUGAAAAUCAGGAUAAUUUAGGAAAAAAAUGAGAGGGAAUAUCUCUUUUUUGGUGAUCAAAAUAUUUGGUGGCAGGAUAAUGUAAAAAAAAAAGAGUUCUAUUUUAAGUUUAAUCCUCUAAAAAAAAAGGCACUUUCCUUUAGUUGUGGUACUCAUUUUUUUACAUUAUCCUGCCACCAACAUUUUGAUCAUCAAAAAGAACAUUUCCUCUCACUUUUUACCCAAACUAUCCUAAUUUUCAACAACUAAAAAGAUAUCUUAACUAGAUAACAAUUUUAAAUUUUUAAUGAUUAUAUAAUUUCAAAGUUUUAAUUUUAUCUCAACUUUUAGUGCUUAGCAUGACUUAAUUUGAAUUUGAACUUAGUAUAAUAUUGUCCCAACAAUUUAUUAUUAGCUCUCUGUAAUUCAAAAACUACAAUAUUACUAAAAAUACAUAUCAUAUCAAUGUAUUUCAAGUUCAUCAUCGUAGAAAAAAUACACUAUCCAAUAUCUAUCAAAAAAUAUCUGCUAAAAUUGACUCUAUAUGUGAGAUAUUGACUACUAAGAUGCAAUGAAAUUUGAAGGUUCGUAUAGUGCGUUUGUGUCAGGUUUUAUUUUUCUAUAAUGUUUCCUUUUUUUCCUUUUGGAAAGCAUAUAACAUUAUUAUGAAUUAUUUAUUUAUCGAUUGGUCGUAUUCAGACAUUCGUUGGAGCCUCUGUUAUUUUAAAGUUCAGACCAGAAAUAAAAGAGCUGGAGUUAUAUUCUAUGAAAAAUUUUGUUAUAAUACCAAAUAUGCUAGUCAAAAGUCAGUAUCAACGAUCACAAAAUGAAACUGAUGUUCACUCAUAGAACAAGCAUACAGAAAAUGUUGAUCCAUGCUCUGAUCAGACUUUAUUUAAAUUUCGCCUAUUUGAGCAUUUGAUAAACUAAGGCGAAUUUUAUAAGACUAAAUUUUUUGAUAAUUAUUCUUUACACAAACUUUUCAAUAUGAAUGUUUCACCAAUUAUAUGUCAUACUAAGUAGAAGUACUUUUUUCAAUUUUGAUAGACAUCGUAGGAGAGACGAUUGCUUAUUAACCUAUUAAAAAAUACAAACAAUUUUAUGUCAUACUAAGUAGAAGUACUUUUUUCAAUUUUGAUAGACAUCGUAGGAGAGACGAUUGCUUAUUAACCUGUUAAAAAAUACAAACAAGGUGAUACGUCCAGUGCUUUUAUGAAUGUGGAACUCCAGGAUUAUGAGUGAGACUGCAUAUAUAAUUAUAAUCAUUGAUAUAUUUCAAGUUAUCCCAUUUUUUAUACGAUUAAAUUGUGCAUUUUUUUUAUGAAGGAAUAACAUGAUUGGAGCUACUUUUGAGCGGAAUUUGUUGAACAAAUUCGUCCACACUUGGAUGAAUCAUUGAUAAACAUGUCAUUGUGGUUAUGCAAGUCAUACAACCUCACAAGUUUAAAGAUUUUCAACUAACGAUGUACAUUUGAAAAUUUUAUUGUAUGUGUAUAUCUAUUUGCAUUUGAUUACAUAUAUAUACAUAAAUGUAGGAAAAUUCUAUGUACGUAAUUUUUUGACAGUUUCAAAACUAUGGAUUAAUCCUAAACUGCCUGAAGUUGCUGAUUUUAUUUCCAGGUUUAUAUAUACUCCUACAUCCUCUAUUUAUAUUUUUUUAGUAACUUGGAGAAUUUGUUAUAUGAUAGAUAUUUUAACAAACUUUUAUACAUUAUAGAAUGAAAAUGUAUGUGGAGAUAAAUAUGAGAGGAUUAGUCAACUGUCCUCUCAACAUAGUUAUUCUAUUUCAGAUGAGUUGGCUUUUGAAGCAGUUGAAGUUAAAACUAUCAAGCAGUUAAUUGAGUACAUGGACGUGAGUAACACUAUUUCAUUUAUCUCAAUAUUAAAUUAUAGGAUAAUAUGUGAAUAUUUUUUAACUAUUCUACUUUAAUAAAUAUAGGAAGGAAGCUUCUAUGUUGCUGCAACCAUAUUACAUAUAGAUUUUGAUAAAUAAUGGUCAUACCUGAGCUGUAACAAUUACAGUAGGAAGAUUGAUGAUGAUUAUUAUGUACGUGGGGGACUUUGUUUCGUCUCUUCCGAGAAUGUUUACAAGGCAAUGCUGAUUAUGCAACAUCAGACCGCAGAUUUUGGUGGUGAGUUUGUUAUAGUUGCUAGUCUUAAAGACGAAGAAUGGAGACCACUCGAAUUCCCUUGGGAUAUCCUCUCAAUGAGUACUGUUUUUACAUUUCAGGGACGACAAAAUAUGUAACAAUGAUAAGACCAAGAGAUUUGGGGAGGGUAUGUGGGAGCGCUUUGAUUCUUUUAACCAAGUAAUUUAUUUUGAUCCCAUCGCUGAAAAGUUUCAUAUGUUUCCGGUCCCUAAGCCUAAACCUAAUCAAGAAGAGAAUGUUAUCAUUGGUUUAGGAUUUUUAAAUGAAUGUCUUUGUAUGACUCGAUUAAAAGAUGAUAAUAAGAGUGGUGUUGAGAUAUUGGUCAUGAAGGAAUACGGAGUGAAGAAAUCAUGAACAUCCUUACUUUUCAUCAGAAAUUUAAGAAUAAAUCCUUCUUACUACUCUGUAGUGCCCUUUUUCAUGACAGAAAUAUAGGUUCUUUUACGAGGAAAAAUUGUUGCAUACUAUCCCAAGAAUGAUAAUAGGAGAGACAUUCUCAUCGACAAAGAGAGCGAACUUAAUUUUGGCGUCAUCACUACCUAUGUGUAAAGCUUGAUCUCACCAAAGAAAUACUACCGGAGUGAGAAGCGUCACAAACAAUUUGGAGAGCUUUGAAGGAAAAGAGUUCCCUAUAGAGGAUCUUUUAUUUAUUUUUUAUUUUUCUACUCUCAAGUUAAACCUAUAUAUUGACUCAAGAAACACCAAAAAUGCUGCUAAAGAACUUAAAUCUAUUACUCCAAAAGCCAUUUAUGCUAAUCAUCAAUUAUGUCAUUUAAAUAAAAUUAUAACGUCUCUUUCCAAACAUUUUGUGCAGUUUCUCACUCCAGUAGUAUUCCUUUGGCGACGUCAAGCUUUCCACAUAUGUAAUCAUGGGGCCAUAUGUAAAUUUCCUCCCUAUCCCGACAUCGAGAAUGUCUCUCCUAUUAUCAUUCUUAGGAUUGUAUACAAUAACUUUUUGAGUCAUAAUUCCAUAAGAAGAAUUUAUUUCUAAAUCCCUUAUGAUAUAUAAAGAUGUCCAUGAUUCCUUUACUCCAUAUCCCUUCAUAACCAAUAUCUCAGCUCCAGCCUUAUCAUCAUCCAAGCGAGUCAUACAAAGACAUUGAUUUGAAACUCCUAAACCAACUAUAACAUUCUCUUCUUGAUUUGUGGAGGAUGAUGAAUAUGAUGUGGUACCUAGGUGCUCUUUAGGUGUAUCAAUUUUGGGUGUUAAUGGAAUAAUUUCACGGUCUACCAUGGUCAGCUCUAGCCCUUGUAAAUAUUCUUCUCACGAUGAUUUAUCUUAUUAAACGUUAUAAUGACUUCCUCUUGCAGGGUUAAAGUAAAAUUGCAGAUUUGCUGUCAGUCUUAUGGUUUAUCACAUAUUUCGUCUAUAAAUCAACAAGCAAGCAUUGCUAAUUGCUUAUAUGUUUAUUGCUAUAUUAUUUGUCUUGAGCCGAGAGUCUACCAAAAAUAGUGUAAUAUACCUCACCUAUUCAAUUCAAAAGUUCAGUUUGAAAGGAAUACUAUGUCUCCUAGAAUAAUGUUAGACCUAUUGUAGCUACAGAACCACGAUUGAACUCAAAUUAUAGACUAUUUAGUUGAUGCGAUUGUAUUAUCUAUAAACUAUAAUAUAUAAUGGCUAGUCGUAUUAAAUGGGGUGAUUUUUCACGUGGACUAGUCAUGUGGCAUUUUUCUAUCCACGUGGCGUGCUUGGUGUCAUUUUAUUAGAUAGAGGGGUAUUUUUGAACCAAUUUUUUGUCCUUUUUCAUUUUUACAAUUAAAUGUCGACACAAAGCUUUUUAAUUAAAUAGGGAAAAGGAUUACAAAAAGUGUAAACAACAUAAAUCCCCUAGACAAUGCAAAUAAUUACACAAAAUCCCUUCUUGUUUUCUCUCUCCCUUUUUUUGCAAACAUAUUCAUACAUUCGGUCACAUAUUAUACAUUGGUCGAAUGUAUGAUGUAACAGCAAAUCCUAUAUUUAAGGUAAAAGAGUCUUUAAUUAUUUUACAGUUCCUUAAUUAAAGGCAGUAAUUAGCCAACAUUAAGUCGUUUAUUGAUAGAACAUGUAACUGAUAUUUGAAUUUUAAAAAUUUUGUUAUACAUAAUUUUUUUUUCCUGUGAUUCACGAUCUAGAAAGCCAAAAAACAACCACUUUCUUCUACACCCGUUCUUCAAAACUACUAAAAUCUUCUUCUACAUACGUUCUUCAAUACUAGUAAAAUCAAUAUGAAUAUCCACGUAUUGUUGCGACAUUCUGAAAUUCGGGAGUCAGAAAUUAGUUAUAUGUCAUACAAAAGUGACGCAAUAGUAAUUUCGGUAAAAUACGGACGAGUCGGUCACAACCGCAGGACUUACGGUUUUUUUCCAAAGGAAUCAUGAAGAAUAUAAUAUGGUUUUCUAUGUGCGGAUGCUUUGAAUGGUUUUGAUUGUAUAAAUAUUUUUUAUUAAUUUUUUUUUUUUUUUGAAUGCUGAAGCAAGUAAUAUAUAUAUAUAUUUUAUUGAUUAUAGAUGUUAAUUUCUUUAAUAAAUGAUUUAUAGUAGUAUAAAAAUUUUAAGCUUUUUUUCUAUAUCAUAGUUCGUAACCAUAUAACUUAAAGUUAGAACAUGAUUAUAAAUGCACAUUAACUAUGUAACUUACCCUCUAUAGAAGUAAGUAAUUGUUGAAACGCAUGAUGUAUUAAACUAUUGUACAUUAAUAGUUAAUGUGUAAUAAAUUAUGAUAUACCAUUAUACGUUUUAACAUGUAUGAGGUUCGAAAUACAAUAACGAAAUUUAACUGAAUUCAAUUUUAAAAAAAAAAAUUAUAUACAGUAUCAUUCCAGUAAAUUUAUGAAUAUAUAAUAUGUUUUUAUACAGUCAAAUCAAUGUAUAAUAAAUGUCUGCCUUUCUAGUAAACGUUUGAAUGUAUAAUAAGUUGUUAUACAUUCAAAGCAAUGUAUAGUGAAACUGUGCCAUUCCAGUAAAUUUACGAAUGCAUAAUAUUUGAUUAUACAUUCGUAUCAAUGUAUGAUAUAGCAUCAUACAUUAUAAAUGUGCAUGGUAUUAACAAUUUCUCUAAUUUUUUUACAAGUGAUAAAUGUUUUACAACAUGUAUGAUGUUAUGUAAUACAUACUUUUAAAACGUAUUAGUCUUUAGUUCAAUGUAAGAUUCACUUAUAAGCAAAGGUACAUAACAGGAAACAUACUAUGUGUUCAAAAUACAAUGUCACAUUAAUUAGUAACAUGUUGUUUUAAUCAUUAACAAAAUAAGUGAAAGGGAAAUUCAAUAAGUACCAUGAAUCAGUUAGUAAUAUUGCAGUAGUGUCUCAGUGACUAGAAAACAUAUUCUCAUAAGAUGAAGACAUCCAUAUAUGUAAAUUAACAUCCAGAAAGUAAUCUUUGAAUUCAUUUAACAUCAACUACAAAACUAAGAUUUAGUUAAUUCAAUUCCGUCUGUUAUUAAACAAUGCUACUCUAAAGUAACAAUUGCACUUUCAUCAAUUUCUUGGAGCACACUAUUCCUUGGCCGAGGAGGAUCACCAUUAUCACUCGUGUACCCUUUAUUUUCCUUUUCUACUUCGUAAUACCACAGUAAUGAAGCAUAGCGUGCACGUUCAAUGCACUUGCUACCUUUCACUUAAUAUUUCUACAUAAGCAGCCACAAAGACGCCACAGUCCCUGAUUUAAAGAAAAUAAAAAUGAAGUAACAGGAAGUACAUUAAUUUAAACAUAGUCAUACAUUAUAAAAAAAUUGUAAUUUACUUACAAACUUUCAGAUGCUUUCUGGGGUAUGUUUUGAACAUAUUCAACAUCAAAUGCAUUUUGAUUGACAUGUAUGAUGGUAGCUUAUACAUUUAAAAAAUGUAAUAUCGGAUAUACUUAUACAUCUCAAAUGUAAUAUCGGAUAUACUUAAACUACAGACAGACAUGUAUGAUGGUAGCUUAUACAUUUAAAAAAAAAAUCUUCUUUAAUGUAUAAUGUCAACUUAUACAAUAAUAAAACUUCAUAACUGUUUUAAUUUUUAUAACUGGCAAUGUAUAACCUAUAUAAAUACAAUUCAGAAUACACACAUUAUACAUUAAUUAGACAAAAAACUAAUGUAUAAUGUAUUAUUAUACAUUAAUAAUUGAAGGUAUGAACAUAAUCAGUACUUUAGGAAGACGUAGUCGAUCGGAAUCAUCAAACUUCUUUUUACUUGUCGCUUUUGAACCAACCUUCUCCGUUCUAGAAGCGCAACUUCCUUUAACUUCUUCAUUGUAAUGGAGUCGUUUCGGUGCUUCGACCGAUUCUCUGCGAAAUUCGGAUCCUUAUAAUCAAAUUUACCAGGAACAAAUCCGACGGGAAUAUCUUUUUCUUUUGAAUCAAACUGAGAAAUUCCUAAACUAAAACUUGGAGGAUAAUCCAUUAGCAAUUGACACUAUAUUGACUUAACAGUAUUGUUAAAUUGAACUACAAAACAAUAAAAUCAAUUAAAGAUCCAACUUAUACUAUAUGAAAAAGAACGAAAAAAACAAAAUGAACUUGAAUAUGAUUGAACAAUACAAAAAUUUCAAUAUGCAACAAAACAAGAAACGGAAAACCCCUGAAUUUGGUAAAGUUAAAAAAAAAAAUUCAAAAAUUUAAUGAAGUAAAUCAAAAUAAUCAAUGAAAAGCUUGUACAAUUAGAAAAUUAUUAACCUCUAAGUGGACGUUACUUGUAUAAUGUCGUGAUUUGUGGUUUCAAAAAUGGAGCAAAUAACGGGAGGAUAAUGGAUAAACUAUGGAGCAAAAGUCGAAAGAUGUAGGCGUGUUUUGUGAUGUAUAAUAUUUAAGAGAGAGAGAGAAAAUAAAAAAGGAAAAUUUGUGUAAUUAUUUUGAGGUUUGUGUAAAUACUUCGUCAAAUUGAUAUUUAGUGUAAUAUGAUAACUUUAAGUUAUGUAUAUAUGUAAAUUUUAGUAAAAACAACAUCCCCGUUGAAACAUUUGGCAUUAUAUGGCCCAAACAAUUUAAAUGCCACAUUAUAGUCAUCCUUUAAUGUUACUCUUUUUUAUCGACGACUUUACUCGUUUUUUUUGUUUCACAAACACUUUUUGUUGUUUUCUUUUUUGUUCAGCCUUUAUUGACUUUUUUUGGUUUUGCUAAUUUUUUAUUUCUUUUUACUUUUUCCGUUGCACUCUUUUAAUUUUUAUUUUUUUGAUUAUAUUAAAUAUACAAAAAAAUAGAGUAAAAGUUUUGUUUCCAUCUUGAACUAUACACGAAAUUAUUGAGAUAUACCCGAACUUUAGGAAGGUCCUAUUACCCCCUGGUCUAAUUAAAACCGCAUUUUUGUCAACCUUAGUGCAUACGUUGCACAUACGUGGCACAGUGGCGGAGCUAGAAAUAUUAGGAAGAGUGUUCAAUAAAAUAGGAGCUCAUUAAAAAAUGCUACAAAAAUAAAAAUAUUUAGCAGCCACUGGGAUUCAAACCCAUACCCGGAGUGCCCUUGGCCUUUGCUGAUCACCUUCUACUACUGUGUUAUUUCCUUUAGAUUUGUCAAGGGUGUUCAACACAUGACAUUUAACCAAAUAGAGCAACAUUUUACAUAUAUACACAAUGUAAUUUUCCGACGAAGGGUGUUCGCCUAAACACCCUCGAUAGGCUGUAACUCCGCCCCUGACGUGGCACAUCAGUGAAUCAACGCACUGAAGGUCUACGUAGGAACUAAGGUUGCCAAAAAUACGAUUUUAAUUAGUCCAAGGAGUAAUGGACCCUUCUAAAGUUUGGGUGUGUCUAAGCAAUUUGGUGUAUAGUUUAGUGCGGGAGCAGAACAUUUUCUCAAAAAAAUUUAUUACUUUUUUUUGUUGCUUUCCUUUUAAAACUUUUUUUAAAAAAAUUAAUCAAAUAAAAAAAGUUUAUUUUCUUAAAAAUAUAAUUAAAAAAGGGAUACGUAUUGAUACAAUAUAAUAAAUAUUGAUACAUAUAGACAAUACGUAUCUAAUCUAAUACAACACAAUACAAUACAAUAAAAAUACAUAUCCGAGUAGUCUAAAUUAUUGAUACAUAUAUACAAUAUAAUCAUAUCUUAUACAUAUUGAUACAGUCCUUAUACCAUGAUACGAGCCAAACGGCCAUCAUAGUUUUUGAUGACAUUCUUGGUGGCCAACACUUAAAGACUCAAGAUUUGGUUACCUCGAGGACACAAAAGCAUGCAUCGAGGACCCAUUUUGGACAUUCAAGAGAGCAAUUUCGUGUGUGGAGGGUUGUUUGGAGGCUUGCCUUGAUGACUAUCCGAGAGAACAAGUGAAGAAGUGUUUUGAAGAGCUUUAAACACUCCAAAACUGUCAGGACUCGAGCCGGGGCCCUAACCGUGAUGAGCAUCCCGAACCAUGGAGGCCCGGGCGCCCUUCUAUUUUUGGUAAUCAUGCACAAUACUCAAUAAUAAAGAAAAGAAUGCGUACAUGAAAUAAAUGGAAUCAUGGUCAUACUCUGAAUUCAAUUUAACAAUACUGGAAAGAAAUUCAUGAACAUCUAAACAACGUCUAUUUCAGUCACCGAAAUCUCUAAUACAUAUGAAAACCAAUAAAACUAUCUGAAAUCUGGGACAAGGCCUCCAGUAGACCAAUACCAUAAUGAAAUAACAAUACUCUAAGAAUGGUCUUCCGAAGUAAGGAAGGCUCACCAACUACACACUUCUGACUGUUAACUCUAUGAUUUAUCAAGACCUAUAGACCGAGCCUCAGACCCUGAAAGAUAGGGGGUCAAUACAAUUGUAUUGGUAUGUAGAGAAAUCCAAAAUAAUGCAUUUAUAUAUAAAAUAGAUGAGAGUAAUUCAUGAAAACAUCAUGUCUGAUAUAGUUUAAAAUACAUGGGCAAUUCUUUGAUGUUCAUAAAACAUUCUUAUCAAUGCAGUUCUGAUUUUUGUAUUACUUCUGAGUUAGGUGGUCCACUCUACAAUUCUACAAUCCUAUGGGCUAUAUGGAGUCCGCCCUUAACUCGGCGGCCAAGCCUCCAACCCAAGUUUACCUCAAGAGUUGGAGUUUUUGAUUCUGAUACGCCACAGGGCACUAGACUAGCAUAUAAUCCCUCUAGGGGACAUAAUAAUACCAUAUCGGCAAAACACAAUUUUGGGCAAUGAGUUUUUUGGAAUAGUGCCUUCUUCGGGUAACCACCUAACAUCUCUUUAUGUCCAUUUUUAUCCUUUUCUGAACAUGUGUCAUCUAAGUUCAAAAUCUAAAAAUCUGAAAGAAAAUCCACAUUCUAUUCUGUUCUGUGCUCACCAACUGCAAAGACUUGCAAGUCAUGUUUCUAAGCCAUAAAAAUCAUAUCACAGUUUUUUCUUUCAAAACAUAAAGUUUAGACCACCAUAUUUCAACAAUUCAAGAAGAUUCAUUCUUCAAUACACUUAUCAAACUAUGUAAAAUCAUUCCUUUCGAUCAUUUUAGCAAACAUGUGGUGGUAAUGCAUUUUUGGCAAACCAUGUAAUCUUUCAUUAUAUAUUCAACAUUUAUCAACAUGCAAAACCCCUCUCAUCAAUUUAAAGAUCAAGCUUACAUUAUUCGACAAUAGUCAUGAACAUAUAAAAUCAUGCUUCUAAAUAACAUUCUAAAAAUCAAGAGGUAUCACGACAUGAGAGGGAGCGUAAAUAGAUAUGCUCUCAAUUAAAUUAUAAACUUUAAUAACAUACAUAUAUAUAUAAGAUUUCAAAUCAAUUUGGGGAAAAAGGCCUAAAGACCAAACAAUAAUGUCACUAAAGAAUUCAUAACGCAAAUUUCAAUGUUAAUUCCAAAACCCCUUUAAGAUUUUAAAAUCUCACAAUGCUAAAAGAUGUUGAAACAUUUUCUUAUUCCCAAGUAGUUUUAGGAAAACCCCACGUACCUUAGUUGCAAAGAAUUCGCGAAGAGAUUUCAAAAAGAUUGGACCUUUAGGCUUGAUUGUCCAAAUUCUAGUUGUUUUCUCCCCUUGUGUUCUUAAAAGGUGAAUUUUAGGGAUUUUUGAGGAUUUAAAACGUUACUAAUGACCUUAAUUUAAUUAAAAAUGAUUAGGGACGGUUUUGGAGUGUAAAAAGACUUGGUUGCCCUUAAAAUGACUUUAAAACGACAUUUUUACGUCCUUGGGCCAUAGGGCAUGCGAUGCAUUGCCUAUGGCCUAAUCUAGGCAAUGCCACACAUUGUUUAUUGCUCAAAAUAGGUUGGGCAUCGCAUUUUCCAUCGCCCAAAAUAGGUUGGGCAACGCAUUUCCCAUGACACAAUAAUUCUAGCAACCUCAGGCGAUUUGCUAGAAGACACAUUUAACUUUGUAAAGUUAUAACUUUUUGCUCGGGUAUUGGAUUUAGGCAAAGUUGGUAUCGUUGAAAAUAUAUUUUGAAGACCUUUCAUUUUAUAUAGAGUAGAUACUCUAAUUCAUUAUAUACAAGAAUUUAUGGUCGAUGGAAGUUGACCCAAGUUGAAACGUCCACUAAAACUUAAUUGCUAGAAAUGUUUUCAACUUGUCUUAGACUUAGGGGAUUUUUGUGACCUUAAUUCAUAUUCAAUGGUAUUUCAAAACUAUAGGAUUGAUCACCACACAUAUAUUCACAAGGAAUCCUCUAGUUUGGGUCUAUACGCUUAGGAACGACAGUCUAAAUUCUAGCCAGAGAGUACGGGGUGUUAAAAAAACACUUUAAGGUAGUCCCUAAUUUACACACCAAGGCCGCCCUUCAUUAAGAGAAUUUUUGAGAUUGAACAUGGUGUUUUAACACACCAUGGCCUCCCCUCUCAUUAAUGGUAGUUGGGUCUUUUUGUCUUCUAUUGUAAUAUACUAUAAGUAGAACAUUUUAGAAUUUUUUUCAUUAGUUAUUGAAUGAUAAUAUUUUGAGGCAUUGAAAUUUCUCUCUCUUUGAGAGUGUAAUUCACAGUUUAGGGCUCGGAAAAUCCAUAUUUAGUGUAGGGCUUGGAAAAUUCAUUAUUGAACAUUGCUUAAAACGGUGGUUCUUGAGGUGAGUUGAUUCCCUUAGCGGUCACCAUAAGAAGACUGGUGUUUGUACUUGCGGGUUUAAGGAUCUUUGUGUUUGAAACACAUUUUGGUUCUUGUUCUUCGUAAAUUCUUAUGUCAGCUUGCCUAUCCUUUUAUUUUAUUACAUUUGUGUGUUUGUAUCUUAUCAUCUUAUUCUCGGUUUGUGCUUUGUUAUUCUUGGUUUUGUAUGUUGUAGCCGAAGUAGGUUCCUUGUUGUUCUCGGCUUUUGGCUUGUAUUGUGAUACAAGUACGACCAUGAAGAUGGACGCAUGUGAGAAUGUAAUGAACCCGAGGCUUGGAGUGUGCUAGUGAAGGACUUAUAACACUCCAAACCGACCCUAAUCUCAUACUCGGAGUGUAAAGAGGAGCCUUGGAACACAAGAAGGCAUCCCCUAAAUACACUUGAAGGGACCCUAGCUCUUAAAAGGUCAUUUUGGAUAUUUUAUAUUUUAUUUGUAACCUAGUAUAAAUAGAACAUUGUAGGGCUUUUAGACUUAUAUUAUUCAUGAUGUUGUAAGUCUUGAAACACAAGUCCUCUCUCCCUGAGGCACCAAAACUAAAAUUAGGCAUAUAGAGUGUGGAAUCACUUUUGUUGAUCUCAUAGCUUGGAGACGUGAUGCUUGGGAGGUGGAUUCUGACCUUGUGUCUUCGUAAGAGAUAGAUGAACGUUAUGUGUAGUUCUAAGGGUCCAAGAGUAGAAUAUGCUCUUGGGUUCUUAAGAUUAUACCUUCAUUAAGUCUAUCUAACUACCCCUUUACUUUUAUUGUAAUCUUGUAGUAGUUUGUGUUCUUAUAACCGUUUCUAUUUCUUGUUAGUAAAACUGUGUGUUGUUUCUAUCUUGUUAUUUUUGUUCAUCUCGCCAUAUUAUUUCUGUUUUGGUGUAUUUACACCUUUAAUAUCUUGUUGUUAUUGUGUUUUCGUUGUUGUUGUAGUGAAUUCGAAAGUGGUCACCAAAGGGGUCCUCGAUUCUUCAAACUUGUGGACUGUUUUGGUGUUUGUUUAGUGUUCCCGUGGUCAUUCUCGUAUCAUUUAGGAGGAAUGUUGUCACACCAUAGUGGGUUAGCAUAUAGGUUAUAGCUUCCAAGGCAAGCUAUACCAUCAUUUUCACCACUUGGUCUAUUAGGAGUGUUUAAACUAUCUUUAAACAAGACAUUGUACCUAAAGAGUGAAUGAUCUAACCCGCGGACUGAUUUGGAACUUUCACUCUCUAAGGAAUCAUUAUGAAGUUUCAAAGAUAUAUGAAGCACACCAUUAACCCUAUGAGCCAAGAAAACAUUAGAAUCUUUACAACAAUAUAGGCUCAUGGGUUCACUCCUUUUUUCUUGGACAACAUUUUCAAAUUCUUCACUCAUUUGAGACUCAUUAAUCACAUAUACAUAUUCUCAAGUGGUGGUCAAGUUUUACACACAAGUUGGUCAACAGAAAUUUCACUCAACGGUGUACUUUCAUUCAACACAAUAGCUUCAACACUAGGUGGACAUAAAUCGAUCUUACUAGAAGAGUAGAUUCGGUCAUCUAUAGGAUCAGCUAGUGUAUCCACUCGCACAACAUGUACAUCAUCUACAAGUGGUAAGGAAUCAAUAUACUCAUACGUAGGUAAGAUACUACUUACACUCAACGGCUUAUUAGUCACACAUUCAUCAUCCAUAUGUACCGAAGUGUAAGAGAUAGCUAUUUUACCUUGACGUCCAUGAGUACGUUCGUCUUUACCUUGGUGUGAAAGUCCUUCACAAGUUUGGGAAACAACUUCCUUCGGGAAGCUCUCACCACAAGGUGUUUGGACCUUAGGUUUUGGAUUUGUUAGGAUAAGUGUGGAUACCAAUUGGCAUAGCCUUUCAACGUGUCAUUUUAUGUCCUCAAUAUUGUCGGUGAUGGGGUCAAACAUGGCAUAGAGAUUGGUGGCAGCCAUGGUACCUAAGAUAAUACAACAAUGAAAAACAAAACAAACAAACUUGUUAGCUCAAAAUGCCUCACCACACUCUCACUCUCAAUUUUUACCUCGCACUUGGUUUCACAAGUGUUGAAAGCCGGUUUGUACUUCGUGAGUGAUUGAGGGAGGAGUCCACCUUGGUCCGGAAUAGAUUUUCAUUCGAGUUUAACCAAAGAAAAUUUUGUCACGUACUUGAACCAAUAAGAUACAACGAAUUCACAAAAGAGAAAAAAGCACAAAAGAAACGUAGACACGAACAACGGAUUCAAGAACUAAAUGACAACCUAGUAGAAGUUUACUAGCUUGUUAAUUAGUGCUAGGAUCAAUUAAACGUAACUAAGAGACAACAAAAUGAAACUAAGAAAUAUAAAAUUUUGAGCUCAAAAAUAUUGUGUGAACAGUAGCAGUGAUGAUGUGGUAGCCACGUAUUGGUUCGGUUUUAUCAAAUGGUUAUUCUCAAAUGUUCAAGUCUUGGUCAAAAAUUAAUUUUGAUUGGUAAAAUUUGUUUUAGGAGAGAAAAUAAGUCUUGGAGCCUUUUUCAAUUUUCAAGACUUGACCUUUUCUUGUACUUCUCCUUAAAACAUGGGUCCUUAAAUCAAGAAAAAGUGGUUGAGAAGUAAUAUAAAGUCUUUUGGUGGUUGGGGGUCUUUCAAAACUAACAAGUACAUACACGUUUUUCCUUCACCUUUUAGGAUCUAUCAUUCACUUUAUGUUCUAAAAAUAUACGAAGGAAGGUGAAGAACUUCAAUAACAAUAAUAGACACACCAAGAACAAUAACAAAAAUCUUCAAGAACAACAACAAUUCCAACGGCCAACUCCAAUCCACAAUAACAAACGGCCAAGUCUCUUUAGUGUUGUGUCUUUGGUUUUAACAAGAGAUGAAGGUUGUGAAGAAAUUAAAGAACAACAAAAUCAUUCACCAAGUACAACAACAACAACACUCCUUUCAACAAUAAUAAUUUCACACACAGCCAAGUCAAGUUUCUCAACAACAAUGUCUACCACACGAUCUUACUUGUUCACGACAACAACAACAAAUCUCAAACUUAGAUAUGGACUCAAGUUUUAGUGAAUAACAAAGAUAACACUAGAAACACUCAAUACAAACAAAAAUCUCGGCCAAGACAAAACAAGAACGCAAUUCUCAGCCAAGAACACAACAUGGACAGAUUGCACUUUUUCUGGAAUUUUCAGUUUUUCAACAAUUUUUUUCCAACUAACAAGCCCAAGAUUGAUCUUGUGGGAACAAGAUCAAGACAUUCUAUAAUACCAAAUUAUACGAGAAUGAUCACAGGAACACUAAAAAAAUACCAAAACAGUCCACAAGUUUGAAGAACUGAGGACCCCUUUGGUGACCACUCUCGGAUUCACUACAACAACAACGAAAACACAAUAACAACAAGAUAUUGAAGGUGUAAAUACACCAAAAUAGAUACAAUAUGGUGAUAUAGACAACAAUAACAAUAUAAGAAUAACACACGGUUUUACUAAUAAGAGAUAGAAAUGGUUACAAGAACACAAACUACUACAAGAUUACAUAAUAAAAGUAAAGGGAUAGUUAGAUAGACUUAAUGAAGGUAUAAUCUUAAGAAUCAAAGAGAAUAUUCCACUCUUGGAUCCUUAACACUACACACAACGUUCACCUCUCUCUUACAAGGACACAAGGUCAGAAUCCACCUCCAAAGCAUCACGUUUCCAAGCCAUGAGAUCAACAAGAGUGAUUCCACACUCUAUAUGCCUAAUUUCGGUUUUGGUGCCUCAAGGAGAGAGGACUUGUGUUUCUUUGUGUUUCAAGAUUUACAACAUCAUGAAUAAUCUAAGUCUAAAAGCCCUACAAUGUUCUAUUUAUACUAGGAUACAAAUAAAAUAUAAAAUGUCCAAAAUGCCCUUUUAAGAGUUAGGCUCCCUUCAAGUGUAUUUAGGGGCUGCCUUCUUGAGUUACAAGGCUCCUCUUUACACUUAAAGUGUGAGAUUAGGGUCAUUUUAGAGUGUUUUAAGUCCUUCACUCGCACACUCCAAGCCCCAGGUUCAUUACAUUCUCACAUGUAUCCAUCUUUGUGGUCGUACUUAUAUCAUGUUGUGUACUAUUUUAGCUCUUUGUAGAUCAUUUUUUAUUAUUUGGUAUCAGAUAUUAUGGUUGAUUUUGUAGUAACAAAAUCAAUCUUGGGCUUGUUAGUUGAAAUAAAAAAUAUUGCAAAACCGAAAAAUCAAAAAAAAAAAUAGUAAUUUGUCCCAUUUUUGAUGUUGUGGUUGAAAAAUUAAAGCUUAUAAAUGUGUUGUUGAUGUAUGGGAUCCAACUUUAACCAUAGAACUACAAGAUUCAAAAAGUUGUGUUCUUGGUGUUCUUCACCAUCUUUAUCUUUUGUUGAAGAGAAAGUGAUUAUUAUUUCUAAAAUGGUGAAGAAAGAGAGUGUGUAUUGUAGUUGGUCUUGAAAAACUUUCCAAUCUUUUUCCAAGUUUUAAGGUCUCUCAAAGACUUUUACAACCACUUUCCAACCACUUUACAUGUUUUAAGGAAGACCACUUUUCCAUGUCUUAA